GUGAUUCUCAGAUUUUUUUUUUUUUUUUUUUUGUUGGGUUGGGUGGGGACUGGGGAGCAGGAUCGUGGAUGCAUUGUGGAUAUCACUUGACAACUUCCAUCGUUGCACCUCCACUUCUGAGCCUGCCAUUUGCCCUUGCUUCACUUGGAUGGGCCGCCGGAGUGAUUAGUCUUGUCAUCGGAGCUGCUGUCACAUUCUACUCCUACAAUUUGAUAUCUCUAGUGCUCGAACACCAUGCUCAACUGGGUCACCGGCAACUCAGAUUCCGGGACAUGGCUACUGAUAUUUUAGGUAAAUUCUCCCCACAAAAAUCUCGGAAAAAAAAAGAAGAUAAUAAUUAAUGAGAUUAAUUUUUUAUGCACUGUCAAUAUAAGAAUUUUAUUAUCUCUGCACAAACGUAUGUACAGUGAUCCCAAUCCAAUAAUAGUCGUACUUUAGAGUCCAAAACUUUAGUUCAAACUGAGAAUUGCUUUUCUCUGCGUGACUUCAUGUUAAGAGUGCCGUAAUGCUCUAUUUGUUCUUGUAGCAUUUGUUUUCGGUUGACCAGACCCCUAAGCGGUGGUAUUGGUGUUGAGAGUUGAAACUGCCAUUUGGCCUUUUCGACUCUUAUCAAUAUUUUUGAUCGGUGGCCACUAUAAAAAUUCAAAGAAUCCCUAUUUCUUAAUAGUCAAAAGAAAACGCCAGCCAUCAAACCACGACCCAACUCACCAUACAGGAUUUCUGAAGCUGAGAAUUCAAGUUUAUUUCAACCUAAGUUUUUUUUUUUUUUUUAUAAAAAAAAUUCUAGAUAAAUUUAUCUGUUCUAUUAGGAUCACCAUUCUUGUCUUGUCUUGUAAAUGAAAAUUGUACAGGUUUAAUUAGUUUUCGUUCAUCAUAGUAGAGAAGAAAAAUAGAACCGCUUAGAAAUUUAUUUUACUUGUGAUUCAAUUUAGGAAAACCUCUUUUAUGUUGAAAAUAAAAGAUUAUCAUUGCCAAAGUCCCACACGUAAGCCCUUCAGCUGUUAUUGUCUAUGUUCGUCUCAUUCGUGGAUGUCAAAGUUUUCUUUAUUCAAGACAAAAUAGCUGUCACAAUUUUGGUAAGAAAUCUUGUGAUUUUUAUUGUGAUAUUAAUAAGAAUUUUGUAUAUGUGACGUGCAUUUGAACACGUUAAAAUAUACUCCCUCCCUUUUUUUAUAACUGACGUUUAAGGUUUUACACACUAAUUAAGAAAAAUUUUUCAUUGCUUAAAUCUGUACACUACUUUUCUUUUGUACCCUCAUUAAUUACUAGGGUUGUUACAAAGAAAGAAGAAAUAAUUACUAGGAGUAAUAAUUAAGAACCCUGUAUUGGAAAAGAGAGAUAAAAUGGUAAAAUUGUGAAAAAAUAAUUAAUACUGUAUGGGGAUAAUAAAACGACAGAUAAAAGUACACUAAAGCAAAUUUUUUAAACGUCAGUUAUAAAAAAAGGGAGGGAGUAAGUCAUUAGUGCAUAAAAAAAUUUAUCCUAUUAAUUAUGUUUUUCUUUUCCUUUUUUUUGUGAUUGGAUUAGUUCUUGGUCAAAACCGAAAAGAUAGGUACUUAACUGCAUGUGGACACUCAAGAAUGAUUGCACAAGUGAAUUUCAUUUAGAAUUGCUGAUAUUUUCUUUUUCACAUUGUGUUGUUAUGCUAGAUACUUAACUUCAAAUGCAAUCGUCUCGUUUUUUUCUUCUUACAAGUUACAAAUUCAACUUUCAAUACGCACAAGUAGGAAAGACCUUCCUACAUUUUUUGAGUAUAUGUCAAAAAAGAUUGUCAAGAAAGAAAGACUGGACACAUCGGCCAAAUGACAAGGAAGUUCUUACCGACCUCUUAAAUUCUAGAAUUAUUACAGAUUUUCCUUUCUCGUUCCAUGAAUUAGUACCUAUUCUGCAUGACAUUGGCUUAUUCAUAAUCCAACGAAUUCUGGCCUUACAAAUCCAAUUUUGGCAGGACCAAAAUGGGGAAAAUUUUAUGUAGGUCCAAUCCAGUUCUUGGUGUGCUAUGGUGCAGUUGUAGGCUCUACUCUUUCUGGGAGGGCAGUGCUUGAAGUCUGUUUCGUUUUUAACAAUAUGUUUCUAACACCACUUUCCUUCAGCCCAAGAAAUUUUGAGCAACUGAGCAUGAAAAUGAUGGACGGGGCCAUACCAUAAGAAAGAUAAUGAUAACAAUAAACCAUACGUUGAUGAAGAAGAACACAGUUUUGCCUCAACCUGUCGACUCCUUUUGCAGGCAAUCUACGUGUUGGUAAAUCCAAAUGGAGAUAUGAAGCUCUAUGAAUUUGUGAUCAUGUUUGGAGGGCUAAUGCUGAUUUUAGCUCAGAUGCCAUCUUUUCAUUCGCUUAGGCAUAUCAAUCUGGCGUCUCUUUAGUACUCUGUCUGGCCUACAGCGCCUGCUGCCACUGCAGGCUCUAUUUACCUUGGUAAGUACUAUUAAGUAAUGUCGGUACUGCUAAUGUGAAACAGCCUUUAUUUGAUAGAAAGAUGGUAUAUAAACUUUGGCUGCAUAAUUUUUUUCUCAGGAAAUUCAUCUAAGGGACCAAACAAGAACUACUCCUUGAGUGGUGGCACUGAAACUAAAGUUUUUUGGCAUCUUCAAUUCGCUGGCCCAUUAUUGCCACCACUUAUGGAAAUGGGAUCAUUCCAGAAAUUCAGGUCCCUUUUCAUUCCACUCAAACUUGAGCCAAACAAAUAAAGAUUUAAGUUAGAUGGCUAUAUAUGACUUUUUUUUUUGCAGGAUUAAAAGAGGUUUCAAUGGUAUCCAUGCAAAUGUACAAACUUAUUGUAUAUCAAUCCUAAUGGAACAUUUCUGAUCAUUUAUUUACAGGCGACAUUAGCACCUCCAGUAAAAGGCAAGAUGUUCAAGGGACUCUCUGUUUGUUACAGCGUAGUCACACUGACCUUCUUUACCGUAGGCAUUUCUGGCUAUUGGGCCUUUGGCAAUGAAGCUGAAAGUCUAAUCCUAAGCAACUUCUCAGAUAAUGGAAAAGCUUUGCUGCCCAAGUGGUUCAUUUUUAUGACCAAUAUUUUCACCAUUCUCCAACUAUCAGCUGUUGCUGUGGUAAAGACCAAACACUAUUUAACUUUUAGCAGAUUCUCUCUGAGUAAUCAAAACCCAAAUAUAUGAGCAGCCAACCCCAAAAAAAAAAAAAAAAAAAGAAAGAAACAAGAUCUUAAAAAUUUUGGAAUGCAAUGUUUAUUGUUCAUUACAUAUAAAUUUUCUCCUUAUACCGUUUAGCUGUCUAUAUUAGUCAGGAAUUUAGGAUUUAGAGAUGAUACUUUGUCUCACUUUUUGAAGCUUUUGACAAAUUGAAAUCAUAAAUUCUUUCAGUGACAUGAGUUUUUCCUACAAGUUAAGGUGGAGCUUAGGGCACUUUUUCUUACAAGUGUUCUGCAUCAAAUUGGCAUAAUAACAACAUAGCAAAUUAUGACUUGUGCCACAGGUGUACUUGCAGCCUACAAAUGAAGUUCUUGAAAGUACGUUUGCAGACCCUAAGAGCAGUGAAUUCUCUGUUCGAAAUAUUGUUCCAAGGGUAAUAUUGCGGUCCAUAUCAGUUGUUAUAUCAACUACAAUUGCAGCUAUGCUUCCUUUUUUCGGAGAUAUUAAUGCUUUGCUUGGAGCUUUUGGUUUCAUGCCACUCGAUUUUGUCCUUCCUGUUGUCUUCUUCAACUUGACAUUCAAGCCAUCAAAGAGAAGCCCCAUUUUUUGGUUAAAUGUCACCAUAGCCGUGGUUUUCGGUACUUUGGGGGUCAUAGGAGCAGUGGCUGCAGUGAGACAAAUGAGUCUUGAUGCUAAAAAUUACAGGUUAUUUGCCAAUGUAUGAUUAGAUAACCAUGGCUAGAAGCAAAUUAUACAGCGAUCUUAUUUUGAUAUACCAAAGCACCUGUCAAAUAUCUAUUAGCUAUAGCACAUUUUUUAUUAUUUUUUCGACAAAUAAAGUACAAUAACUUGUAUCUGAUGAGAGACUCAGGCAAAACAGAUCGAUUUGAUUAGUGAAUUCAUGGCUAGCAGCAAAUUAUACAGCGUUCUUUUUUGAUAUACCAAAAGCAUUCACCUGUAACAUAUCUAUUAGCCAUAGCACUUUUUUUUUUUUGGGUUGACAAGAAAGUACAAUAACUUGGAUCUGGUGAGAUAUUCAAACAAAACUGAUCGAUUUGAUUAGUAAAUUCAAAGUUGCCAGCCUUAAUCAAUUAGCCACUUAAUGAAAUGAUCUCAUGUUUCACCAGAAUCUACCACUCUUUCUUGGUUCAACAUGAAAAGAGUAACCCUCUGUUCAGUGUCUACAGCUCCUAGAGCUAGCUAACAAAAACUGCUAUUCAACACCUACAAAAUCCCUCAAAAAACUAUGGACCGCUCCAUCAAUCAGCCAAAUGAAGGCAAGGAUCUUGAAAUUAUUAAAUCACUCGGACUGUUGCUGCUUUACUCAGAAGAAAAGUUCAAACAAUGAGAAACUAUAGAUGGUAACACGUCAUUCAACUUCAUCCAAAUGUCCAAAGAGUUCUUGCCAAUGAAUUGCAGCUUCUUCAGGUGACCGAAAGGACCAUAUAUGAUUGUUGGCCUGCUCACGUUUCUCGAGGAUUUCCUGCAUUUAGAAGACUAAAUUGGUAAUCGGUUGAAAAGCAUAAAGCAGGAACACUAUUGAAUAUAAUCCGACUUUUCAUACUCCUUCCAAAAAGAAUAGUCAUCUAAGAAUAAUCUGAAGAUCAUGAAGUAAUAAGAGUGAAACAAUAGUAGGAUCAAAUCCCAAGUACAAGCAUUAAUGACAACAGUGUCUGGUGAAGUGUUUUCCAGAUGUUCCUCUGAACAUGAUGAUGACAGCUGACUUAAUAAAUAAGCAGAAAAAGAAUCCACCAUUUUCCAGAGUAGUCAUGUGCAUUGAUAAAUUUAUAGUUUUUGCUUCUAGGCACCAACUUCAGAAGCAAGGCCACGCCAUGUUAUUUGAACACAGCACUUAUUGAAUAUUUCUUUUUUUUUUUUUUUGUUUAGCCAAAAUUAACUACCAAUGGAUUGUCGUUAAAAUACCACAAAGAUGGCUAAGGAGAAACGGAAUGCUAAGACGCUGGCUUUUACGAAGCACAACUUACUGUACUGUCACACCAGUUAGAGAAACUACACUUGCAUAUCAGUCAGGAACUAUUAACUUCUUAGCUGGUAAAAGUACCAAAAAUGCAAUAAGGCAAUGACAAUUUGGAAACAGUAGGGAAAACAAGCAUCACUCAAUGCACCUAUAUGGCAUAAAUCUUCAACAAAUGCUCUCAGUAUUGAAACAACAUGCCAUGGUACUGAUCUUAAAUUAGUCCAGUGAAGCACAACUUUUGGAUUUAUUGUCUCAAGCACAUUGCGGCAAAUAAACAAAGCAGAAUGACCGAGUUGGCUGUUAUUUUCUGUAGGGGCAAUCCAAAUCAUUUUGAGAUUUAUUUCAAGAAAUAGCAAAUCAUCAUUUAAUUUCUGUGCAAUACCAAACAGUAAUUAAUAGAUCAAAGAAUAAUCCAACAAACCCCACAAUUAGUAAAAUGCUUCUACCUUAAACUUACUGCAACCUUCAUUUAGGAACUCAGACUUCCUAUUUAAAAAUUGGCAAUCCAAAUGUAGUGAAGAAAAAAUUUUAAGGACGAAAUAGAGUUGAUUCCUCUUUUAGCUACAUAUGAUGCUCAAAAGUACGUGAAAACUUAACUUUCUCAUGGUCUUGAUUUAUUGUCCCAUGAAAUUAAAACCUGUAGGUCCAAAAUACGAUAGUUGAUUAUCAUUCCAAGCAUAAUCAUGGGGAUGAAAAUUGCACCAAUUAUUCUCUCUGACAAUAGUAUUUUAACCAUCCAAGUUACUUUCUCAACACUAAAUGCUGGGGUUUUUUGGAUACAAAUUUAAGCACUGGAUAUGUUUAGUACUUGCUUGGGGCUAACCAGGGAUCUAGUUCCCCUACAUAAUGGGGGAAAUUACACGAACUCUGAGAAUAACUAGUAGUUGUCUUUUACUAUUCUUACUGCAUUUUGUUAUAUUCUGUAGCACAACUACUCUCAGUUCUAGCCAAAACCUUCAGAAUCCAAAUGUCAUGUUCAAAGUAUCAUCUUAUUAGUUCAUAGUUAAAACAAUACAACAGCCUAGUUCAAACAAAAAAUCAGGAACCCGCAUCUGCUUUAAGGGUAUAUUAUCCUCUAAUGACAUAGAAAGGAAGUUUAGAAGCCAAAUCAAGCUUGACAUGAGGAAAACAUUUGAUAAAUAGAAGAAAAUAAUCGGCUUUGUCCCUGACCAUUUUAGUUAGAACAGCCUAUGCCUAUGCCUCUCAAGAUGCUGUUAAUCAAUGCAUUUUCAGUUUUACAUCAAGCUAUGACAAUGGCCUUUUACCAAUUGAGGAAGAGGGUCCUUGUGAUAUGCACAAUAAAAAUAAAUAAUACAGACCUCCAGCUCAGAAGGUCUCUUGGUUUUGAGGUUUAGACAAUCAAAUAGAGCAUUCCACUUUGCGGAACAAUUAUCCAGCCAACCCAUCCGAUAGUAUUGCUGCAUCUGAUGUACAGGUGCUGCAAAUCACAAUUUUUUACCACUCAGUCCAACGAGUCAACCACCCAAAAUAAAUAGAAAUAGAAAUAGAAAUAAAACUGCUGUUCAGAUUGUGGAGUUGAAUACAACGAGAAGCAAGAAAGAAUUGUAGAAAGAGAUAUCUAUAUCUGAAAGGCAUGAUGAUGAUAAACCUUUACGUAAAAUCAGACAGAUAAUUUUAGAAUCUGGAAUAUUUCUGGGCUACAAUAGAAUUUAAUUGAUACUGUAAAUACCAAUUAAUGCUCUCAAGAAUUUAGGUCCACGGAAACAUAUAAUCAGCAAACUAUAAAUUACCAACUUUAAUUCUGUGAAAUGAGGAUGAAAAGUCAAUGAUAAAGUGAGCAGGGCAAAGAGAGAGAAGGGAGAGCGGGUGUACAAUAGCAAAACCAGAGCGCAUCGAAGUAGGUGGAGCACGACAACUUCCGGCGCGGUGCUGUGGCGUCGGCUACCUCCGAGCUCAUCUUCACCUUAAUUGGUGGAGUACUACUCUGAAAUUGCCCUUUCACCUAUGAGCAUGUGUAUGUUUACGCAGGCAGUGGUGCUUCCUCUAUUUUUCCUCUUUCUUUUCUUUUUCUUUUUUUUUUAGGUGAAAAUUACACGUUAACAUCACAUUCUUCCAUCUCUCGAUUUACCAUAUAAACUGUUGAUGACAAAUUUCUCAAAAAUAAUGUUAAAAAAAAUAUAUCGCAGAAAAGGCCACGGGCUAAUAAUUUGUUAAAUAGCAUCUAAUCUCAAGAGUGAAAUUGGCACACUUAUAUAGGACUAAAUAAGUAUUAGCAUAUGUUAAGCUAAAUCCAACUACAAAGUGGAAAAUAAUUUUAACUGAUUCGAUAGUUAAUCUUUGUUUCCAUCUUAAUUUGAGCACAACUUCUUCAAGAUUUCGAUAUAGCCUAUCAUGUAAGGUUACAAAUCAACAUUUUUCUACAAAAAUCAGGUGGGGAUGGUAAAUCGGACGUAAUUUCCAUAAAGAUGAAGUUGGUUUUGCUAAGAGUUAUAAUAAUCAUUUUACAAGUUUGGCCAACUUUUGAAUUUUGCCAAUAACACAAGAUACACCGAUGCAGCUACAACAAUCAUCAUCAGUUUCUGAGUCCUGACCACUGACCAGUGUCUCCAAUAUGGCCCUUAGUAGAAAAUUCCUAAAUCCCCCAUAAUUACCUAUGAAACGAAUACAAACGAGUCACCAACUCAGCCUCGAGUAAUUUCAGAUCAUAGCUCUAAGAACUGCAGAGAAAUGAUGGAGCUAUGUGAUUGACAUUCAUAGCAGCAUCCGUUCCAUUUAUCUCUUUCUCAACAGCUAUAACUUGGGCUUCAAUUCAGUCUAUAGGUCAAGAGCGAAAGUGGCGAGGAGAUAAAUGAAAUCCAAUGCACUUUCUUGACGUAUUGCAACUCCGACAGAACCAGGAAUUGGAGUUCGACUCUGUCGGAGGCAAAGAAUUGUUGACACAACUUAGCAGCAGGCUUGUCUGCUUUAAGCGAAAAGCAUCUUAAGCUCCUCGAUGCGUGCUGAUCUAACUUCUUGGUCAGUCAAAGCACCAGAAAUCAUCCGUUGUUUGCGUGCUUGCACUGCUUCCAUUCUUUCUUCUACAGUUCCCUGCCACCAAGAUAGUCCACGUGAGUAUUCACCACACUUACAGCUAUACCUACAAUUCUACCGAGUACCAAUAAAGGUUAAUCACAUUCAUGUCUAAUCCAAAGUACAGGGUCCAGCCACAUAUAUAUAGUGCAACAAGAGAAUAAGAAUGCUACCAAACUAGCAAAAGAAGGCUUGCGGGCGGGACAAUUCCAAAAGGAUUUUAUGAUGUACCUUCAUGAUGAACCUUUUGAUCAUUACUUUUUCAGUUUGUCCAAUGCGGUGAACGCGCAUUACAGCUUGUUCUCUACGGCUGGGUUCCACCAGGGAUCCUAUGUAAGUCAAAUGUAGGCUUAGUGUAUAUACAGGGAACAAAAGCCAAUUCCAAGUACUACUUUUCUACUAUUGAAGUCAGCAGAUUUAUGAGAUUACUGACAAGAAACCGAUUUUCCAAUUGAUGAUAGCAAAUUUUUUGUUUCCCGCCUGACGAUUGAAUAAAAAGAACUCAUACUAGUGUUUUCAUCCAUAAUUACUUCCCCACGGCACAACUCAAAGUAAACACUCCUUAACAACAUAUUCAAGGACAAAUGCUCUCCACAAAUUUGCAAGACUUUGUACACAUGACUACCAGCAAGAUGCAUACCAAGACAAAAGCGUUGGAUGCAGCUGUUAAGUUGAUCCCAACUCCCCCAGCCUUCAAUGACAUUAGCAAAACCUGUUUAAGUGAAAUUUGAAGAAGUGAGCCCAAAAAACAAAUAAAUAAAUAAAAUAAAAUCUAGAUAGUAUGCUCCUCAUGCCAAAACCGUGGAGACAAACCAUGAUGUUAUCUUCCUCUGAGAAUUGCUUUAUUACUUUCUCACGUUGUUGCUGGUUAAGGGUCCCAUCCAGACGAAGAAAUUGAAUAUCACUCCUAAAAGUAGAAAGGGAGAGGGGAAAGAAUUGCAAAAGAAAUGAAAGGCAAAUAAGGCUUAGAAGAAUUAAUCAGCGGAUUGAGACAAUAAUAGUCACGAUUAAUACCAUUAUGCAACAAAAUACAAAAAGCGAAACUUGGCCAACAAAUUUCUCAAGAACUCUACACAUAUACACUAGACGAUCAGACAGCUCAAAAUUCUUCAAUCAUGUAUGCUCUUGGUAAAAAUCCCCCCCACUCCAACACCCAGACCCAAUCUAGCCUGAGAAAAUCAAAUAUAAAGAAACCAAAAAUAACCCCUUUUGCUAGAUAUUAAGGGCUAUGGAAUGGUAAACAAGCCAAGCAAAUUAACUGAAUGGCUAACAAACAGAACGUUACAUUCCAGUACUAGAAAACAAAUGAUGGCAAAACGAAGACAGAAAACGUUACCGAGAAAAAGCAAUCUGCAAUAGAUCAAGAAAGGCAGUCCACUGGCUGAAAACAAUGCUCUUGGACCCUGCUAAGCGAAGAAUUUCGAGUUCAUGCAGAAGUGCAGAAACCUUAGAUGAUUCGACCCAAUUUCUCUCAAUAUCAAUCCGGAAGCGACUUUGAGUAGGAGCUGUGAGAAGCUCUUGCUUGGUAAUCAUCUUUCUGGAAUGUGACAAGCUCCCAACGAAUUAGUGUCAGGCAAGAGGAUAAUGUAGUAAGCUCAUACCAUGUAGGAGUGUUAGAAGAAAUAAAAGGAAAAAGCAUGAUGGUACCUACAAACAGGACAAAAACCAGAAGUAGAGCUUCGCCAACUUGCUAAGAGGCAUUCUCUGCAUAGUCUAUGAGCACAUGGUGUCAAUACAGCAUCUUCAAAAGCUUCAAGGCAUAUCGGGCACUCUCCUACUUCCCCUUUUCGUAACUCUUCAACAACCUCCUCAACAUAAGCCAGUGAUGGUACAUCUCUAGCUUGCCCAUCCACAAUGUCCUGACCAACCUUAAGAAAGCGUCUUGUGAGCUUAUUCAGAUCAGAGAACUCUUGCGUGUCGCCCCGACUGGACACAUAAAACCCAUCAAAAAUGAAUCAUUAAAACUAAUCUCAGAAAAUCUCACAUAAACAUGUGUGAGCAUGUGCAAGCUUUACAGAACAUCUCCCAUCACUCAAUAGCACAUGGUCAAAAGCUCUAAAACAUUAGGAGACCAUGGCAGUAACCUUUAUCCUUAGUCAUAAAUGACUUAUCAAUGGGAUAAUGGGAAUCAGAUAAAGCUUACUUCUUGUGUAAACAAUUUCCAAAAAACUCAGAAAGUUGGAGAGCUAAAUCAGGCAGCACUGUGAACAUGCUAGAUGUGGCUAUUAGAGCAUUAGGUUGAGUUGCAAAAGAUCAGCAGGCUAGUGGGGCUGUCUUAAGCUUUCCAUUCAAUAGUGAGAGCUGCAGUUGGGGUUGUCUAGUUUGAUUUAUGCACAAUCAUGGUACCAAAAUUUCAUGUUUAACCAUAAGAUAUGUUACUAAAGAAGGGAUACAAAGGGAAAAUAGAAAAUAUCCUACCUCAUCACUAAAAAUGGAUGGUCACAACAUUGACGAAGACGCAAGAGCAACUCCAAUAUUGAAGCAUAAUUGUGAAGAAUACGUCCUUGCUCGACAAAUUUAUCAAAUUUCACCUUAAGAUAUGGGACAAAAUGGAACAUUAGGGAAAUGGAUACCCCAAAAAAAAAGUGCUUCAGAUCAAUUAAAUACCUUUGAUCUUUUAAACAAAGCAUCAUAAAAAUCCCUCUCUGCUUCUGUAAGUUCACAAUAUAUCACUUGAAUAUCAGCAGGUGGAAGAACCAAAAUUGGCCUGCAAACACAUAAAAGUACAAGGAAUAUAGCAAGCAACAUAGACAAUGGAGGAAUAUUAGAAUUUACGGAUUCCUAAGAUAACCUUACCUGCCUUCCUUGUCAGUACUAGAUUUAGUUCUUCUUAGCAUAAUUGGCUUUAAUAUUGAUUGGGCCAACUUCAAACUACGCGCAUCACCCUCCUCAAAAGGUUUCUGAACAAGUUUGUUCCACCUAAAUUAAGCAUCCAUUGGUCAAUCCAAGGCAAUCUGCUAUAAAUUUUUGGAAAAAAGGAUCACUAGAACACUUUCCAAUAGCAGGGCAGCAUGCAAUCUCUGAAGGGGCAACAGAAACAGGAUUUGGUAAAGUCAAAAGAUAAAACAGUUCAGCUAGAGCCUAGAGCAACAUAACCACAAACUUCACAAAAUCAAAAGCAUAAAAAUAAAGAAAGAUCCUAUUGUAAGCUAAAUUUCAACCAUAGCUGGAUUAAAGAAAGAAGAAUGGUGAUAAAAACAAUUCCAAUGGUGAAACCUAAUAUCCAAAAAAAGAAUGGAAGCUAAACCUCACCAUGCCCAGCUUCCCCAUGGUUCCACCUUCAAAAAUCGAAGAAGACUGUAAAGAUCUUCUAGGUUGUUCUGUUGCAAAAGAAUUGUAUUCAGAAAAAGAAUUAGACUAAAAGGUAAAAUCUGAAGAUUACUACGAGGUAGAUAAGCUCAAUUACAAUCAUCAUAAGCUCUUUCAAAAUCUGCAUUUAGAGAAAGAACUCUACUGCUCCCAAGCUUAAGGUGCAAAGAAGACUUAAUUCGAAACUUGUCAUAAUAAAUGUUAAGUGCUCUUCAUUAUCUUCAACCAACAGAGCAUACAUGAAUGCAACAUAUUUUAUUUCAGGCCAAAUAAUCACCCAAUAUACCUGGAUAGGGGUGCCAGUAAGGCACCAUCGACGAUCAGCAACAAGCGCAGCUGCAGCCAUGGAAAUUUGGCUUUUUGAAGACUUUAUUGUGUGUGCUUCGUCUAGCACCACUCUAAACCAUCUCACUGAGAAGAGUCCCCCAGUGACAUCAGCAUUCUACAAAGGAAAACCCAUUAAAUGAGCUUGUCAGAUAAUUAUCCCAGAUAAGACAGAUUAUAAUCAUGUCAAUAGCAGAUGAAGGGCAAAAGAGUCAGGCAAAAGGAUUUCCAGCAAUCUGAGCAUAACUUGCAAGUGGUAGAUUUCCUUCAGCAUAGGAAACUGCAAGUGAAAUUUUAGCUACUUCUGUUAUGAUCAAACGAAGAGAUUGUAAAAAUACCUCUGCUGAGAACUCUGAGGCUAAAACUCCAUAAGUUGUGAGCACAACAUCACUUUGGCCUAGAACGAGAGCAUCCCUUGAUCUGUUCUGCCCAUAGUGAAUGUAAAUCGACAAAGUCCCAGGUUGUGCAUGGGUUUCAAUUUCUGCCUGUUAUCAAGAUAACCAUUUGUUUCACAGUAAAAAACCUAGCAAACAUAUUUCACUCUACAUGCUACAUGUAAAUUCACCAUUUCAUUUGAUUUUUCAAACACUACUUGCAGUCAAUGUGUACAUACCUUCCACUGACCUAUAAGGGUCAUUGGACAGAUAAUAAGGUUUCCACCACAUGUGAGAAAGUUUUUUGGCUUCAAAAGCUUUUCGAAUCCAGAAAUUUUUGCCGCUUUUUUUGCCGUUGGAGAUUGAUCUGAAAUAAGGCUAGCUUCACCAUUUCCAGUCAAAGUCUGGGCUGUCAAUUGGUUUCCUAAUGAACCACCUCUUUCAGAAUGUGUUAGAAGAAGAGCUAUGGUCAUGAUAGUUUUCCCAAGCCCCAUAGAAUCUGCCAGAAUCUUCAAAUUUUCCUUGAUUUAAAUGCAAUACAGGAAAAACAACUGAAUAAAAAUUUAAGAUGAGAUCCAGAAUCAUACUCCUCCUCUGGCCAUCCGAAGAGUGCUUGGAAAUUCUGUUGUUGCAUCGCCAGAAAAUGCAUUCAAGUAUAUAACAAGCCCCCUUCUAGCAAAGAACACACCCAGCUUUAGAAGAUGAGUCAAAUUAUAAGAUAAUUAGAGAAUUUAAGCAUUCUCCUGGUCACCAACUCGAAAACAAAGCUUUCUAACUCACUUGUCUGCAAGCCGGUAUGCAUCCCAACACGGGUGCAACGUUGAUGCUGCUUCAUCCAGGCAAUGGCCCCUCUCAAGUUGAAUCAUCCAAUGAAGAGCCUGCUUCUGAUAUGGAUGAAGUUCACACUGAAGAGUACUUGGAGGUCCCAUUUCCUAAAAUAAGUGCCAAUAUAGUUAACAUGCAGAGAAAUCGUAUACAACCCCCAGCCCCAAAAAAGACAUCAAACUUCACAGAGCACAUUCACAUGCAAACUGCCAGUAGGCCAGUACCAGUAAUUCAGAGCUGUCUGCAACACCAACAAUUUUGUCAAGAUCAUUGUCAGAUAUUGACUCCUCAUUUUCCAUCUUACUUCCAUCUAGAGUUGAUUGGCUCUUGAAUUUAGGAAUAGGCAACAAUGGUGCAGAGACAUUAAAGCUGUCCUGUUCAGAUAAAUAUAGAACUUAAAGGCUUUUUUUCUUAUUUUAAAAAACUUAAUCCAUUUCUGAAGAAACUCGACAGCCAGUAAUGUUUAAUGUACCUCUAAGUUCAAUGGACGCUUCUUCGUAUACAAAUCGCCUGGAGUGAAUUCUGCCUAAAACAGAUUAAUGACAUUAAACAGCUCAAAAACAUGACAAAACCACAACUUCCAUACUCAGCACUUUAACGGUUAUUUGGAACUACACACACGAAGUCAAACAUGACCAAACUUAUUGUUUUUAUUACACUCUAUAUACACACUGAAUGAUUACACCGUACUAACUCUUAGAGUUGUUUAAAAACAAAACUGCUAAAAGUAAAUUGUCACCUUCUGAAAAGGAGAGAGCCCCAGCAAUUGGAAAAGCGUUGGCAGAGGAUGAAUAACUGAUUCAUCAUUUGAGGCUGCUUUCAGUGAAGCCUGAUGGCUCUUUUGGAACAUGGAACUGUUUAUAUACACGCUGCAUAUAAUGCAAUUAAAAGAAAUCAACUGUCACCCUCUAUCUGCUGCACAACCACAUAUACAAAUUAGUACAAUAUAAGAUAUACAGAACCCAAUCAUCACAACUAUACCUGACGGACAGAAUAAUGCUGUCCAUAAUUCCUAAUACAGGUGGAGCGGAUUUACAAUGCCCAUCAAUUCUAACUUUCUUGUCCCUCACAAGUGGUAAUAAGCAUCGAGCCCAUUCAUAUGGGAUGCGGCCAAUCUGCUAGCAUUAUCACAAACAUAUGUAAAAAAUACUACUUAAAGGUCCAACCAAAGCUGUUUCAUUUUUCACGCUUCUCAAACAACUAUAUUAAACGCCAUGCUACUUUCACCAAAUUAGACAUUUUUCAGCAAAUUAAGAUCUUACUUAUCCUUGCACCACUUUAUCAUUAAAAGGGGACAACAGAUGCAUUUUACAAACACAAAGCAUAUGACUUUGUGUUCUAAUUUUCUUCUUAACAAUUCAACUUAGAUCAAUGAACGAUAGUACCUCUCCACAAGCAUUCGUGGAAAUCUGACAAUUUCAGAAGAAGAAGACACCUGCCGCCCCCGACCACCCCCAGACUUUCCAGGAGAAGGUGAACUCGACUUUCUCUCCACCGGAAAUGUGAAAAAAACCUCCUCCCCAGGCUUCAGAGUCCUUCCUUUACACGUGGAAAUCCCUGCAACCUCACCACACCCCACGAGCCACCACUCACUCCCCAUUGAACUCGAACUCGAACACCCAUUGGAGCUCGAACACCUCGCAUCCUCAACUUUCCUCUCUCUCUCACUAUCCUCUAUCCUAGCCUUUACAGCCCCAUUUGAAGCCGAAACCCGACACAAAUUCUGAUUCUUGGCCUUGCUAUCAUGAUCGUCAGUACCAUUCACACUGGGAUUUGCCGCAGUUGCCGGCUCGGGGCUCAAAUUUCGAUUCAAAGGCUCGGGUUUUUUGGGAAUUUCAGGUUUUCUAAAACCGGGAGUGUCAAAAAUGAUGUUAAUUGCAGCCGUGGGAUCAUUCUUGGCCAUGUGCAGGGCUCGAACUAUAUCCAUAUUUGAGUAUUCAGCGCCUACGAUGGAUCGAACCAUCAAAACCAAUUCAUCGGUAACUUUACUAAUACCCAUUUAGGUUUUGCUUGAACUGAAGAGAAUAGAAACCCUAGUUGUGAUUUGAGGAAAUUUGAGAAAAUCGAGGCAGCUCUAUAUCCAAAUUUGAAUUUGGGAAUGGUUUCAACUAAUCGAUAGACAGCAGGAAGAGCAAUUUUUAAAUUUUGUUGGCUUUGGAAGAAGGGGAAAUUUUUUAGAAGCCCUAGAAUAAGGGGUUUUUUAAAAGGGCGAAAAACGGAAAAGUGGCGGGGGUGGUGUUUAUAUAGUUCAGGAGUAUCGGGUACAUUCCCAGUUUCCCGCCAUCCCAGUCAUAAAGAGUACUCUCGUUUUGCUUUUCCGCUGUCUUUUGUUCAUGUUCCACUUCCUAGCUUUACUGUCGGUUUGAUUAGGUGAAAAAGUGCCGUCUGAACCAUUUCAAAGGAAAAAAAAAAGAUUCUAUAUAAAAAAAAAGAUUCUAUAGAACCAUUUCAAAGGUUCUAUAAACAAAAGCUCGCUACUACUAGCUUUACUGUCCUUUUGUUCGUGUGCUGCUAUUAGCUUUAAUGCGCAAUUGAUAAGGUGAAAGAGUGCUCAUUAGGAGCUUUGGUUGUCCUGUGAACAAAACUUAUCUAUUAAAAUGUUAAGUGGUACAGAACUUGUGUGUUUUUUUAAGUAAAAAUUAUAAAUCAAACGAUUGAUUAUGAUUAAUUGUUAUUUUAAUCAGAAAAUUUACUUUAACUACUUUAUCUUGCCUUUAAAAUCUAUCUCUAUUUGUUAACCAUGUUUAGAACCCUUCCCAAUUAAAUAAGUUGAUACUUUCAACCUAAUGCCUUUCAACUUUUGUUUUUCUCUAUUUAAUGAUUUCCAACCUCUUCUCAUAUGUUUCGCAUAUUUUAUUUUUCUAAUUUGUGAAUUUACUCCUUAAUGUUAUUUUUUUUCCUCCAUCUCACUUUUCUUAUCGUUUGCUAUUCACUCAGUCUUCUCAAAUUCUUAAUUUUUUCCCUCUUUAGUAAAGUAAGUGAUAUUGCUUAUUUGUUGAUUUUUUAUGUUUCUUUUUUUUAAGUACAUUAUGCAAUAUAUGUCUAUCUAUGUGCAAUAUAGGUAUGAAAUCAAAGAAUUCUAGCUGACCUCAUUAGAAAGAUCUAAGUGUAUUUAGGCGAUUCAUAAAAUUAUACUUGAUUGAAACACAUCCAAAUAAUUAUAGUGGAGGCAGUUUUUAAAAAAAUGUUGGGAAUGAAUUAGAUCAACAUUGAAAUAUGAAAAAUAAGAGUGACUUUAUGCAAAGAUAAUUAAAGAAUGAAUGGGAUUAUUCGAAACAAAAAUACAAAUUUUGGGCAAAACUCAAUGGUAAUACAAUACUGUAAAUAUUACAAAACAAUCAUUUUUUACUUUCUUAGGUCGAAUUUAGAUGUUAGAUAAAUUAUUGAAUGUUAGAUGAAUUAUUGGAUUGUAGCGUUUCUUUUAAUAUUUUUCAUAAUACAUUUGAUCUUUUCUAUUUAUUUAAUUAAAAGUAAUUAUUGUCUUUUUCAUACAUGACAAUUUCAAGCUAAUUAAAUCACAAGUUUUUUAUAAUGAAAAGAUAGCAUGACAAAAUUGUACAAUUUAUCUUAUUAAGCAUUUAGUUUUAGAUGUUUGUCAAACACUACAUAUGGAUUUAGUAUAAGGAAUCAAAUGUUCAUAUAUUUCUUUUCAACGCUCAAGUUCAACAAAUUAAUUAUUUCAACAUUCAAUUUUCAUAAUUUAGAUUUAGUUUUAUCAAACAUGACCUUUGACUAUUUUCAUUUUUGGGUCAAAGAAGACUAAGGAUCCGUUUCAUAAAACUAAAUAUGACAUUUGAAAUCUAAAUCCGUUAAAUUAUUGAAUUAUUAAAUACUGAAAUCCUAAUAUAUAAGUAUAAAAGUGAAUAGCUUGUUAAUUAUUUUUUAGAGUAAGUUUCGCCUAGAUAAUUCAAAUCCAUUUUAUUAAUUAAAAAUAUUCUAUUUUUUGUUAUCAAAUACAUCUGAACAUGCUAAGGCCUAAAUCAAUUAGAUUUAAGUAUUAAAUUAUAUUAUUAAACAAGGCCUAAACUAGAUGCUUAUACACAGUACUUGAUAUACUUGAUAUACUUAUACUACAAUUCAUUGAGAUACCUAUAAAAUACAUUUGACAAGCUUUCAAAUUUUUAAGUAUGUUUGAAGGGUUGAAUUUUUUACAUUAAAAGUUCAAAAAUUUUGUACUCAAUGAACAGGUACUAAAAGCAUGAACGAUGUAUAGUAUGACUAUCUACUUCGUGUUCUAAUACUAAAAACAUUUCGCUGGCUUGUUAUUAUACUAAAAGCUUUAUUUCUUUCAGCUAUGACUAUCUACUUCGUGUUCUAAUACUAAAAACAUUUCACUGGCUUGUUAUUAUUAUACUAAAAGCUUUAUUUCUUUCAGCUAGAUCAUACACUUCCGAUGGGUCUUCGAUUUAAAAUUUAUUUCUUUAUGAUUAUAGGGAAGUUGAACAAGAGCUUCUCUCCUAGAAAUCAUAGCUAAUGAAACAAAGGUCUCAGCCAGUGGCGGAGCUAGGAAUUUGAAAUUAGGGGGGCGAGCUCCUCUGUUAUUUGGAUAAAGUCCAAAUAACUUUCAAACAUUAUUAUUUGGGUCCUUAGGAGGGGGCAAAAUGAAAUUUUUUAUCAAUAUUUUGGGGGGGCAAAACAAUAUAAGAAAAAUUUUUUUUACUUAGAAAUUUUUUUAUAACAAUUGGAGGGGGGGCAAAGUGAAAAUUUUUAUCAAUAUUUGGGGGGGCAAAACAAUAUAAAAAAAAAAUUUACUUAGAAAUUUUAUUUUUUAACAAUUGGAGGGGGGGCGGUUGCCCCCCUGGCCCCCCCUUCCUCCGCCCCUGGUCUCAGCCAUUCUCGGUGUCCUAGUAAUUUUCUAAAGAUAAAUGGUAAUUAAUAUGAAAUUAACUUGCAAAUAGGAGUUGUCAGACACUUUUUCACUAUAGGAUUAUGUGAUAUUUAGACAUUUUAAUUAUGUGAUAGUCGAGUUUUGAUUUGACUAUGGAAGUCAAAGAUAUCCAUCUUCCCUGCCCUGCGUGACUAGAAGACGAGAAGUUGUUGCCUUUUUUUAUGUCAAAAUUUUCCUUGAAUGUAUGAGUUUUUUUUUUAAUCUCCUACUCCCCAUAACUCUUUUUAUUUUUAACUGUCAAAUCCAGAAUAUGAACCCUAAAUUUCAAUAGUGAGGAGAAUUUUAAAAGCCCUCCCUAGUCAUUAACCAACCCCAACGAUUGUAUAAAGGUAAAAUGUGAAAAGGAAACGGGAGGAAAUGUGAUUGUCGACAAAUUGUACAAGUGCUUUAAACUAUAUUGAGCUCAGUAAUACAUGGCACAUCCAUCCCCAUAAGCAAAUUUAUAGUCAUUUUCUUGCAGUAUUAGCUAUUCCUAUUCCAAGGGGGGGAAAAUCCCCUUCAUAAUCUUUAUUUAUAAGGUUCGUGACAGUUUAAAAUACUUAGCAUAAAUCUAAUGUCAAAUUAACCAAAGUAAUAUAUUAGCUAAAUUAGCAAAUUUUACAAGCAAUAGAUGAAAGAUUGCAUUUAAAUUAACUUAGUAAUAUGCUAGUGAAAGUUUCUCAUAAUAAAACCAGUGAAAGUUUAUCAUAAUAAAACUAAUGGAAGAGUUGUAAUUACUACUUUACUAGUGAGGCAACUAAUAGAAUAUGGAAAAUUUUACCUGCUAGAUGUUGCCAAACUAAAGUAGAGAGGUUAAAUAGUUAGCCCCUCAUAGAAAACACACAUUGGCAAUUCAUUUUUUAAUUUAGAUUAUGGACAUGAUGCUUUUGUUCUUGCUGAGGUAUCAAUUGGAGUGUUGAGAUUAGCCAACCAACAUCAACAAGAAGUGAUGUUGGUUGAAUUAUCAGCCAUAGAUGAGAAGCUGUCGACUAUAUUGGGACAAAUAAAAGAAGGGUUGUUGCUUUAUACUACAACAAACAAACAAGGAAGUGCAGUCGAAAUUCUUUCAAGUUAGAGAUAAAAUGUCGUUUAUAGAACAGCAGAAAUUAGAAAAUAAACUAAGUAAUUGGCUAGUAGGUCGAUAACAAAAUCGGUUCACACCCUACUUCAAAAGAGAAUGAUAAAAUAGCAAAUCAAGGUAAAGGAGAGUCCAUGAAAUGAUCAGUAUAAAGCUAAAAGGAGAAAAUACCUUCACCUGCCUCACUUGAACUUGGGACAUCGGUGCUUACCUUAGUUGAUAUGGACAGAGCACUGAAAGACGAGGAAGAACUGGUUCAAGAGUCUUCUUUAAGCGAGUAAUUGUUGGGGAAAUCGGAUAAUUUUUCGCUCAAAAUUCAACUAGUGAUUAAACCGAUUCAAUAAUUUUCAGAAAAAGAUCAUCAAAACAAUCUUCUUAGACAGAAUUACCAUUCCAAAUAAAUUCCCAAGAAAGGCUGGAAGGGUCACAAGUGGUCCCACUUGAUACCCAGUCUCCUAUAACAUAAUUUACGUGCACGGUGUAUUAUCACAAUUAGACCUGUGUGUACAUAAAUAUUACGUACAUACGAAAAAGAAAAAUACACACAAAUGAACCAUAUAAAAUAUUACAAAUAAACCCGACAAAUAUAUUGAAUACUAUACUACAAUAGAAAAAUAAACUACUAAAUAAAUGCGGAAUAAAUAAAAGACAUAAGGAAAGAAUGCACCCGAAAAAUUGAUAAUAGAGUUCGGCUAAUUUUGCCUAAUUUUUUAAAACCGCUCAAGCAGUAUGCUCUUAUAAAUUUUGCAAGAAAAAAAGAAUUCUUUUGUAAUUCUUUUUUCAAAUUCUUUGUUGGUGUGUUUUAAUUGAGAAGAUAGAGAGCUUAUUUAUAACUCUCAAAAUCUUUUCCAAUUCAUAAACCCACCGAUGUGGGAUUUGUAAUUGUGCCAAAUAAUUCAACAAUUUUGGCUAUUUCAAAGUCAAUAAUUGAGGUUUGGUUUUGAAUUCAACAAAUCUCCACUUUGGCAUAAUUUCUAAUCGCACCAAAAAUAUAAAUCUUCUCCCGAAAAAAAAUUAACAAACGGUCUUUACGGUGCCUCCAAAUUUGCCCCCUCAGGCGCCAACUUAAACGUGCAGAAUAUUAAUCAAGUUUAAACAAUGUUCAAACUUGGAUCUUGUAACCACCUUGGUCAACAUAUCUGCAGGAUUCUCCGUAGUUCGUAUUUUCUGGAAAAAAAAUAUCCUCUUCUUCAAAAAUUUCUCGUACAAAGUGAUAGUGAACAUCAAUGUGCUUCGUUCUUGCAUGCAAUACCUGGUUCUUUGCUAAGUGAAUAGCACUCUGACUGUUACAAAAUACGUCAAUGUGUUUUUGACCAACUCUCAAGUCUUCAAGCAAUCCUUGAAACCAAAUUGCUUCCUUCAUAACUUCUAUAAUCGCCAUAUACUCUGUCUCCAUUGUAGACAAAGUCACCAUUGACUGCAAAAUAGACUUCCAACUAACUGGUGUUUUGGCAAACGUGAACAAGUAGCCAGUUAUCGAACGUCGCUUAUCCAAGUUACCUACAUAAUCAAAAUCACAAUAUCCAAUUAUACAUUGACCAAGUGAUUUAUCCUGCUCAAAUACUAAUCCAACAUCUACAGUAUCUUGGAUAUGCCAUAGAAUUCAUUUUACAGUUUGCCAAUGACCCUUGCCUGGAUCAUGCAUGAACCUGCUAACCACACUAACUGCCUGUGAAAUGUCGGGUUUCGUACACACCAUUGCAUAUAUCAAUCUACCAACUGCAUUAGCAUACAGGACAUUCACCAUGUAUGCUCGAUCUUCAUCCGUUUUUGAAGAUAAUAAGCUACUAAGUUUCAAAUGAGUAGCAAGCAGAGUACUUACAGGUUUUGAAUCUCCAUUCAUACCAAAAUAUUGUAGUAUUUUGUUCAAAUCUGCUUCUGUAUCAGACAAAACUUGCCUCUCGUUCUAUCCCUGCUUAUUUUCAUGCCGAGAAUCUUCUUGAUUUCUCUCAAAUCCUUCAUUUCGAACUCUUUACUCAACUGAGCCUUCAAUUUGUCAAUUUUAACUUGAUUUUUUGACGCUAUCAACAUAUCAUCAAAUAUAAGAAUAAAUAGAUAUAUGACUCAUCUCGUAGCUUGUGCAAAUACACAUAAUGAUCGUAUUUGCUUCUUGUGUACUUUUGACCCAUCAUGAACUGAUCAAAUCGUUUGUACCAUUGCCUCAGUGAUUGUUUCAAUCCGUACAACGAUUUGCUCAACUUACAAACCCAAUAUUCUUUACCAGCAACUUUGAAUCCAUCUGACUGAAAUAUAUAGAUUUUCUCUUUCAACUCACCGUGAAGGAACGCAAUAUUCACAUCAGUUGAGUUAGCUACAAAUUCAACUGCGCUAUCAAGGCCAACAAAAUUCUAAUAGAAGAAUAUUUAACAACUGGAAAAAAUAUCUCAUUAUAAUCAACUCCCUCCUUUGAGCGUAGCCUUUAGCCACUAAUCUUACUUUGUAGCGAAUAUUAUUCUUAUCAGAAAAUUCUUCUUUCUUUGCAAAUAUCCAUUUGCAUCCAAUUGUCUUUUUUCCUUUCGGUAGUUGUGUCAACUUUCACGUCUUAUUUUUCUGAAGAGAUUGCAUCUUUUCUUCUAUAGCAUCUUUCCAUCUACCAUUUUCUGUAUUUUGAACUGCUUCAGAAAAAGUGCAUGGAACAUCAUCAACAACUAGAAGUGCAUAGACUACCAUGUCAGCAAAAUGAGCAGGUUUUUGAAUUUCUCGUAUUGGCAUAUUAACGGCAAUUGACUCUUGUUGCUGUUGAAGUACUUGGGUUGAAACUCUUCCUCAUCUUACUCUUCUUCUGUCAUGGGAGAGUCACUGAUGGUGCUGUUUGCUGGACUCACAAUUAUUUGCUCAAACUCUAUCUGUUUCAAUUUACACUGCUCCUGUUACGGAGUAUCACUGGUCCCAUCUUGUAUUACCUUAUUCAACAUGAUAGAUUCAUCAAAGGUAACAUCCUUGCUGAUAAUGAUCUUCUUUGUUUUUAGACAUCAUAACCGAUAUCCCUUAACUCCAGUAUUAAAACCCAUAAAGAAAGACUUCUUUGCUCGUGGAUCCAAUUUUGAUUCAUUUACAUAAUAAUAUGCAGUAGAACAAAAAAUACGCAAAGAAUCAUAAUCUGUUGCAGAUUUUUUAAAUUAUAUCUCUAAUGGAGUCUUGCCACCUAUUGUAGAUGAUAACAAGCGAUUGACGAGAUGUUGAGCGUAUGUCACAGUCUCAACCUAAAACUUUCUGCUAAUCCAGCAUUAGACAGUAUGCAGCAUACUUUCUCCACUAGUGUUUUGUUCAUACACUCUGACAUUCCAUUUUGCUGCGGUGUUCUUCUAAUUGUGAAGUGUCGAACUAUGUCAUACUCUUGGCAUAUUUUCUGGAAUGGAUCACUUUUGUAUUCUUUACCGUUGUCUGUUCGGAGAAUCUUAAUCUUUUUUCCCGUUUGAUUUUCAAUCUGAGCUUUCCAUUUAAGGAAAAUUCCUAACACUUCAUCCUUGUGCUUCAGAGUAAACACCCAAACACUUUUGAAAAAUCAUCAACAAAAAUGACAAAAUAGUACCUGUCUCCAAGGGAUGGAGUCUUGGCAUACCUCCACACAUUUGAGUGUACAUAAUCCAAAAUACUCUUGGUAUUAUGCAUGCCAGUGCCAAAUUUCACUCUUCUUUAUUUUUUCAGAAUACAAUGCUCACAAAAUUCUAAUUUGUAAACUUUCGUACCUUUCAAUAAUGCUUGUUUGGCAAGAUUUUGCAAGAAUUUUUCACCAGUAUGUCCCAAUCGCAUGUGCCACAACUUGGUUGCCUCCUUGUCCUUCUUGUUACUGGAAGAUGUUGUUGCUGUUGCUGUUCCAACAACUGUACUACCUUGGUAGUAGUACCGAUUAUUCUUCCUCACACCUUUUAACAUCACAAGUGUUCCCGAAAUUAUUUUAAGAAUUCCAUCUCGUAUCUUCAUUUUCAAGUCUUUUGACUCCAAGAGUCCCAAGAAAAUGAGAUUCCUUUCUAAAUUCGGCAUGUACCAAACAUCUUUUAAGAUUCUAAUGAAUUCAUCAUGAUUACGCAGCUUGAUUGAACCUAUCCCAUCUGUUUUACAUGAAUUGUUAUUUUUCAUGUACACGACUCCACCAUCAAGUUUUUCAAAUUCAAAGAACCAAUCCCGCAUGGGAGGCAUAUGAUAGGUACAAAUUGAAUGCAAAAUUCAUUCAUCUAGAUGGGAUGUUAAAAUUGAUACAGCCAAAGAGAAAUCUGAUUCCGUAUCAUUUUUAUAUUCUGCAAUAUUUACGUCUUGCAGAACUUUUCCUUUUUUCUUUAACUUUGGGCAGUCUUUCUUCCAGUGCCCUUUCUCAUGACAGAAAGCACACUUAUCUUUUAACAACUUUACUUAUCGAUUUGGAUCUUGCUCUUCUCCCCUUUGAUUGGCUUUGUUGACGAUCUCUUGCCACUAAUGCUACAUUUGCUAUAGCUAUUUUCUUUUUUAUUUUAUCCUAUUUUCUCAAUUCAUGACUAUACAAAACAGAACAUACAACAUCUAAAGACACAUUCUUCUUUCCAUGAAGUAACGUAGUUUCUAAAUAUUCAAAUUCAUCAGAAAGGGAUGACAACAACAUCAAAACUAAAUCUUCAUUUUCAAAUUUCACAUCUAAAUUUUACAGGUCUGCUACUAAUUGAUUAAAUAUAGUGAUGUGUUCAUUUAUAAUAGUACCUGAUUGGUAAUCGAAUCGGAACAAUAUCUUCUUCAUAAGGAGUUUAUUCUGACCACUCUUCUUUAGAAAUUUUUCCUCCAAUACUCUCCACAAUUUUCAUGCAGAAGUCUCGUUCAUGAAAGUAUAUUUUUGCUCUCUGGACAAAUAUGAUCAAAUAGUUUUGUAUGCCAACCGAUUUAUGGUACUUCAUUCCUUUCUUUUAUGUCAUCUGAUUUCUUUUCUUCAAUGCCAAUGUCAAAAUCCUGUUGGAAAAGGGAGUCUAUGACCUCGCCUUGCCAUAUGUCGAAAUGGUCAGUACAGUCAAAUAUCUCUACCGCUAGCGUCGAACUUGACAUUGGAGUUCUCGAUCAUGUGGGCGAGGAAACCAAUAUCCCAGAUGUAAUUCUUGACGUAGAAUUGUCAGAUGCCAUUACAGACUCACAUGAUUGUAUUUAAUAUAAAAAAUUACAAACAGACCAAAGGACGAAUCUGACUCUGAUACCACUUGUUAGAAAAAUCAGAUAAUUUUUCACUCAAAUUUAACUAGUGAUUAAAUCGAUUCGAUACUUUUCAGGAAAGAUUGUCAAAAUAAUCUCUUUAGACAGAAUUAUAAUUUCAAGUAAAUUUUCAGAAAAGACUGGAGGGGUCAUAAACGGUCCACUUAAUAUCCAAUCUCCUAUGACAGAAUUUAUGUGCACGGUGUAUUAUCACAAUUAGACCCGUGUAUAUAUAAAUAUUACGUACACACGAAUAAGAAAAAUAUACCCAAAUGAACCGUAUAAAACACUACAAAUAAAUCCAACAAAUAUAUUGAAUACUAUACUACAAUAAAAAAAAACUACUAAAUAAAUGUGAAAUAAAUAAAAGAGAUAAAGAAAGAACGCACUCGAAAAAUGUAUAACGGAGUUUGAUAUUAAGAACGCACCAGACAGUUCUUAAGUUUGAUAUUAGGUUAUAUGCAUUAUUUGUGCGGUAACAUUAGGUUUUGGGAUUAAUUCGAAAACCCUAAGUUGGAGUUAGUAUUGAAACCCUAGUUUUAUAAUUAUAAGUUCGAGCGGUGAUUAAAGCUAGUUAUGUUAGUGUGUGUUUUAGUACAGGUACGUAUAAGAUUUGAUCCAUUUUAGAUAGGUUAAGUAAGUUUAAAAGUUAAGAAAACCCUAAACUAGAAAAGUUUCUAAGUUUAAAACCCUAAUUUUUGCCAUUGACAAAAGGUUGUUAUUUAAUUGCUUUUAUAUGGGAUAAAGUAUGUUUAAAUAUAGGUGAUUAAGAUAUGAAAGUGAUUAGUGAAUUAAUUAAGUGUGAUUACAUGUUUUGGACUAGAUUAAGUUAUGACCUAUGGAGUUAAUUGAAAGAGUUCCAAAUGUUUGAGGGCAAGAGUGGAACAAAAGCUAAGUAGAGGUGCAAGGGCUAAAAAGUAAAUAAUGGAUUUUAGUGUGAUUGGUUGCCAUAAAAAAAUAUCUCUCCUAAGUGGGUUUGGACCAUAUAUUAAUUCAUGAGUCACAACUAAGCCAUUAUAUGACCAAAACAAAACAAACAAAUUAGAGAAAAAGAGAGAGAAUGAGCCGUGGAGUAGGAGAAGGAAGACCAAAGGGAAGUUUGCAAAGUUCAAUCCAUUUCCUUUCAUAAAUCUUCAUUUUGUAGCAUAAAGAAUCCACUUUGGAGAUGGUUUAAGGUCAUUAGCCAUCAUACAUACUUAAUCUUGAGGUAAGAAAGUCUAUUUGAAGACUUAAGUUGAUUAUUGAUUGAUGAACUAGUGGCUAUUUUUGGUAAGGGAUCUUAGUUGUGCUUGAUUAUGGUACCUCUUAUGUUUAUCAUUUGUUGUUAUGGAUCAAUUUGGUGAAAAUUUGGGCCUUGAGGUUCGGCCAUAUGGACCCUCAUAAGGGUUGCAUGUUAAACAUGUGAGUUAGCUUUAAUCUUGUGUUAUUGAACUUGUUAUGGUUGUGUUUGAUGAUGUAUUUUAUUUGUUUGGUGAGUGGGUGGUAGAAAUUGAUUUGGGGUUAAGAAACCCUAGGCUAAAGUGAGGAGUAAUUGCUUGGUUAGGAUUAAUUUGGUUAGGGUUUGUUGCACUAAUGGUUAGAUUAAGUUAAUGAGUGCAUAUGAAGUUCAAUUAGAAGGUGUAGAUAAUAUGUGGUUAGUUUGUGGAAAUUGUAUGGUGCAAUUUCGGAUCAUUGGAAGCCUUCAUAGGAGUUGGUUUAGGGUGUGUAUUUGGUUUGCAUUUAGCUAGAAAACCUGCAUAACAAUCAUAGAACGGACCAUGCAUUUGCGACGCGCAAAACCGGCAAAUCCGGGUAAACAGGGCAGCCCAGAACCUGAACUUGAGCUCCAUUUUUCGUGAUACUACGUAUUGAUUCAGAAGUUUCUCGAAACAUGAAAGUUGUAGCCCUUUCUCGUAGCUUCGAAACGGUGUCUCAUCCACCUUGAUCCGAUAUUCGUAUCCUAACUUUUGAUCAAAACAGUUUGAGAUGGCAGUUUUGGCCUUUUCCGUUUGCUGUUCUGCGCGCGCGCGUGUCUAUUUUGCCGUUUCCGCACUUGCAUGUGCCGAUUUUGCCGUUUUGCUUAUUUUGGGCAUGUUAGUGGCCGUUUGUGAUAUAAUGAGAUGCAAUCCUCUAUUUCAGACCGUGGUGAGUUAGGCGGAGCCGGUGGGGCCUACUAGCUAACACGUACGAAGUGAUUUCUACUCUUACUACUUUUGUGUUUUGAGUAAGUAUUUAGGUCAUUCUUAUGCGUUAGUUGCUUAUGUGUUAUGAUUUGUAUGAAAAGGGUACCUAGGCGAGGGUGUAUUUUAUCGCACUUGACCUAAACCCUAAUUUGCUCACGUAUUUGUACAUAGCAUAUGUAUAUGAACCAUUUUGGAACUAAAACCCUCGAACUUGUAGCUUGGGGUGACUUUUGGGUAAUUUUGUGAAGUUUGUGAGUUUGAGGUCGCGUUUCAAGACCUAGAUGGACUAUUCGAACCGGUUAGGGCUUGGUCGAAGUCACUCCAGCCUAGUCUGAGGUCACCAAAUUGUGAAUUCGGUUCACCGUGCAUGUGAACCAAGUUUAUGAGCCGAGCUUGUGAACCAAGCUCACUUUCGUUCGCUCAAGCAAGUUUGUGAGGUGACUGGCCAGUGAGGGUGAUAAUGUGUUAGGUGGGAGUACAAGUGGAGUUCUACGGACCUUGUUUAUGAUCGACGGAGUGUCGACAGGAGGUCACGCAUGGCAAACGACUUGGCUUUGGAGCCAACCUGUAUCUUUCCUUUGUAUUGUUACUUUUGCACUUGACUUGACACUUUUGUGAAAUAGUUGUUUAUCUAACUGUGAAAUUUAUGAUUUUACCCCUGUUUACUUACUAAGCAUAUAGCUUACCCGUUUCUUUUGUUUUCCUUAGCAGGGGACGACACGGGGAACGCCUGAGUAUAUUCACUAGUAUAGUUAGGUAUGCUUGUAAUAGUUAGACAAUUAAGAUGUAUGUUUUUGUUUUGGUGGUUUGUAUAAGGACCCUCCAGGGUCUACUUCCUGCUGUUUGUUAUCACACUGUAGUAUAGUGUUUGACCAGAUACUUUUGAAGAUGUAAAUAGAACUUUUGGCGAUUGUAUAUAUUAUAAAUAGUACCCUUUCGUUUAUUAUAGUUUUAUUAGUUUUGUGUUUCGAGUCCUGCGCGAGUUAGGCAGGCGUCCCGCCAAUACCCUAGGGUUUGCCCUUGGGAGAAGCGAGGGCGUCACAGGUAGUUAGUUUUCUGUAUAAUCAAACCACCAUAAAAGUAAAAUCAAUGGAUGCAUCCACCGAAUGGAGGAAAGCAGGUAGUUUAAAGGUUUUGAAGAGUUGGCGUGCUAUGGCAGUGUGUUCAUCAACACACAUUUUUUUUCCAUAGACAUCGAUUCAUUCCUGUUGUUUUUCUGUUUUUCUGGCAUAAACCAUGUGGCAUCAGUAAUAAAGUCUCUACUGUUCUUGUUGUCCUUGAAAUUUCUAUAAUUUUAUACGGUAAACAUACAGAACUAAAGAGAUCCAUUUACCAAUCUACAAGAAUUCUUGUCGCAUGGUUACAAGACUGCAAAUUAUUGCCUUUUUGAAUGUCAAAAUUCUUUUUCAAUAUAUGAUUUUUUAACCUUCCACCUCUCUCCACAAAUCUUUGUACUCAUAACUGUCAAAUUCAGGAUUUGAAUUUUAAACUUUAUAGCAAAAAGAACUUAAAAGAACUCUAAGACCCCUUUCUUAUCCACUGGCUAAUCCAAGUGAUUGCUGCAUCAAGGUAAAUGUAAAAAAGGAAAUGGGAUUACUCACAUUGCGCAAGUGCUUUAAACUAUGUUGAGGUCAGUAAUACAUGGCACUGUCAAACUAUUGAUGAGCAAAGCUGCAGUGCUGAAUUGGAGAAAUAUGAGGUCCAAGUCCAAAACAAGCAAACUCUCCAACUACAUUUUGUCUCGAAAAAACUCAUGACAUGAGAUUAGUAACUUUGUUGGAAGACAUUCAUCAAUUAAGAUUGUUGUUUCAAAUGUGCUCCUUGUAUUUAGUUAGUAAGAACAUAAUCAUAUUUGUAGUAGGAUUAGCUCAUAUGCCUUAGGUAUAAUUCAAGAUGAGACUGAUUGUAUAGCUCUAUUGAGCCUUUGCUCGCAAUUGUACAGUUUUGACAAUCUAUAAGAAUCGUUUUGACAAAAAAAAAAGAGUAAUACAAUGCACAUCCAUCUUCAUAAGGAAACUUAUUGUCAUUUUUCUUGUAAAAUCCCCUUUUUAAUCUUUAUUUAAAGGUUCACGAUAGUUUAAAAUACUUAGUGAAAAUCUAAUGUCAAAUUAACAAGAGUAAUCUAUUAGCUAAAUCAGCAAUUCUGCAAGCAAUGGAAGGAUUGCAUUUAAAUUAACUUAAUAUGCCUGUGAAGGUUCCUUAAAAUAAAACCAAUGGAAGGGUUGUGAUUACUGCUUUGCUAGCAAGGCAACUAUGAGAAUAUAGAAAAAUUUACCUGCAAGAUGUCACCAAUCUUAGUAGAGGUUGAAUUGUUAGGCAAAAACUUCAAAUUACUGAAAAUUAUAUUUUAAGUGUCAAGCAAAUGUAUUCAUUGUGUUUUGUAUAUCAUGCAGCUACUUAUAGAAUUUGGUUUUGACACUUUGUUCUACAUUUUGGAACUACUUUCACAAAUGUAAUUAUCAAUUUCAUAAUUUCUCUCUUAUUAUUCAUAGUUCACAUGAUUGAGAAAAUUGAGAAACAUCAUGGACUAACUACUUGAAUUUCAAUCACUUGUUAUGGAAUUAAACAUCUUUGCAACAUGGGUUAGACAUUCUCAAAUAGUAGAGUUAUUAUUAUUCUCCAUAUAAUAUGCAAGUGUUGAAUAGAUAAAAAAGAAUAAGUAAUUGGCACAAAUGGUAAACUAGAUUUAAUUAAACAACUUCAUGAUAGUAAGAUUUCAAGAGGAUACUUUUAAAACUGAACAUAGAAAAACAGCCAUAAGUAAGUGAAAUGGUAUUUUGAAGUUCUUAAAAUUAAAACUCAAAAGAAACCAAAAAAAGAAAUUCUUGAAAAGAAAAAAUGCAAAAUCAAUAAACCAGGAAAAUAAAUAUAGCCAUUUACAAUUAACACCCUGCGAAUUUAAGUUAGGUACCCAAAAUUUUGCUACAAAAUUUCUAGGAAGUGACCGUUAGUUUGAAAAACAUUUUUGCUUUUAUAAAUUCAAAACAAAGAAAUUGUUGGCGGGUGACAACUAAAUCACCACAGCUCUUCCCGCCAAAUUGUUCAUAUUAUUAAGGUUGGUGUCCUGUUCUAUGUACCGUGCUAUUGGGAUUUUAUAGUACUAAAACAGUCCACUAAAGCUCACCCACACUCGGAAUUUUAUUCAUUUUAAGCGAGUUGACUCAGCUUGUCCGCGUCAAUACAGAUAUUUUCUGGCACCUAAUUCUUAAUAAUUCUUCUGGCCUCUUGUCAAUAUUUGGUUUCUUGUUGAAAAUUUUUCAAUUGUUCAUUUAUUAUUUUCCCAGCAUACGAUUUUGACCCCCAAUUACCAAUGGAAGAGCACAAACUUGAUUUAAAAGAAAUUCAUAAUUUUCAAAAUUUAUCUAUCAUUUUCAAAAUUGUAAUUUAAACUGAGUGAUAUUACUGCUACAUAUUUGUCAUGUUGUGGAUAUUAGGGAAAAAAUUAUUUUUGGAGAAAAAUUAUAGAUAAUAAAACAUGAAAUUGAUGCUAACAUUUUUUUUUGUCAUCAAAGAUGAUGUUAAUUGCUUACAUUUUUAUAGAGGAGGUAAGCAGGAGGUUUCAACUUCAAAAUCUUCCACUUAUAAAAAAAUAAAAAAAAACUAUAAUUAGACAAAUUAAAAAAAUUUUCAAUCAAACAAGCUUAGAACAAAUAACAUAAAUAAACUUUAUUUAUUCCUUAGAGUGAAAUUCAAUUUGUAUUUGUCUUAUUAUCUUUUCUAAGUAACAGUGAACGUAUAGUGCAAAAAAUUAGAUAAAGUAUUCAUUUACAUAAGUGUAUAAGUAAAAAUUAAUUUCUUACAUUUUCUUUUAAGAUAAGAUGAGUAAUUCCCUAUUUAUUUUUAUAACCAAAAAAGUAAAAACAUGUAGAUAUACAACCAGAAAUCUAGACCCAGAUCUUCUUCAAAGGUACAAUUAAGUUCAAACUUUUAUUGAAUAGUUUUCUUUUAAAUUAAAUUAUAGAAAAAAUCGUUGAUAAUAAUGAAAUAAAUGUAAAAUGAAAAUCCUCGGGACCGACUCAGGCAAGCGAGUCACAACUCACGAGUGGCCAGGUGGGAUUCGCCCUGGUUUCCAUCAGCCCAGUAGGCAACAGAAAUAUAAAAGAAAAAAUGAAACACAAAAUAUGGUAGAAAAAAUCAUCAAAUACUACUCAAAUACUACUACUACUACUCAAUAGACCCAGAGAGAGAGACCCCAUCGCCCUCAAUCCCCCAAUUCACCAUUAUAAUUGAGCACUUCUUACCAUAAAUUACAAGAGUGGUUCAGGUUUUCCUCUAUCUUUUAGGGCUCUAUCCCGAAAUCUCAAUGGCGGCGAAUCAUCUCAGAGCAAAGGUACGAUUUCGAUUUUCCCAUAUAACAUUUGUGUCAAAUCGAUUGACUGAAGCUUCAAGAUAUCCUUAAUAUUUUUUUUUUUGAAUUUCUGAUUGAUGGUUUUAAUUUGAUUUAUUUGCUAUGGAAUGAAGCCCUAAGCUUCUGAAUUUGGAUUUGGUUUUUGUGGUUGUUGUUCUUGUGGUUGUAUAGGUUUGAUUGGAAGCUAGAUGGUUUCUGUUUGUUACUGGAAAAAGGGAGGGCACCUCGAAACCCUAGAUAGGUUUUGCUGGGAUUUGUGGUGGAUUCAUUUGGGAGUUGGUUUGGAUUUGAUUGAGGAUUGGAAAUAAGAUGGAGGAUGCGGAAGUUAGAUUGGAGAGGAAAAGGGGGCGGAAAAGGAAGAGAGUUGAUGUUCAGAAUGUGGAAAUGGAUGUAGAUGGGAAGAAGAGGGCAGUGGUGACACGGUCGAAGAGGCUGGUGGGGUGUUAUGUGAGGAAGGAAUUCGAGGGGAGUGGGUUUUAUUUGGGGAAGGUUGUUUCGUAUGAUAUGGGGUUGUAUAGGGUUGAUUAUGAGGAUGGGGAUUGUGAGGAUUUGGAGAGUGGUGAAGUGAGGAGCUUUUUGAUUGAUGAGAGUGAAAUAGACGGUGAGUGGAUGGAGCGCAAAAAUAAGUUGGAUGCUUUAUUGUUGCAUAAAGACAAGGAUGUAGAGGCAAUUAAUGAAUUGAAAACCGAGAAUGCGGUCCCAUUAGAGUCUGCAAAUGUCGUUGCCAAUGCUCAGGUCAAAGAAACGUCUGCAGUUAGCGAGUUGAUUAAUGCUAAUUGUGAUGCUGAAAUUGAGGGCGUUCAAAUUGAUUAUGAUGCUAAUGUUGACUCAGUGAGUGAUUCCUGUGAGGAUGAGGAAAUCAGUUCAGAGGUGGAAGUGCCGGUUGUUCCGCCACCAGAGCUGCCUCCCUCUUCGUGGAAUAUUGGGGUUCCAGCAGAGGAUGUGUCACACCUUCUUUCCGUAUAUAGUUUUCUGCGCUCGUUUAGUAUUCAGCUGUUUUUGAGUCCCUUUGGACUGGAUGAUUUUGUGGGAUCACUCAUCUGUUCUGCUCCGAACACAUUGUUGGACUCUGUCCAUGUAGCUCUCAUGCGUGUUUUGAGGCAUUAUUUCGAAAAGCUCUCACUGGAUGGUUCGGAGCUCGCAUCAAAGUGCUUGAGGUAAUUGAAUUUCAUCUUUUUCUGAAAAAUUAAUGGGUUAUGAAUGUAUUUGUUGGUAAGUUAUGUACUAGAGGCAACCACUACCGAUCUUGUGGCCAUCACAUACUGAUUCAGUUCUUGGUUCCACUGCACAGUCAUACCAAUACUGAUGCAGAUAUCUAAUUUUCCACGUACUAGAUUUCCUGAUACUUUAUAUCAUCAGCAUCCAGUAUCAUUUACUGCUCUGUUCUGGUAAGCAAGUAUUGCCUGAUUAGGAGUUGUUAAAAGAUAUUGUUAUUAAUAACCAUGAAUCCUGUUAGAAUUUCCAAGCUAAUUGUUGUGCGGUCGUUUUCAGCAUUUCUUUGUGCAUUGACUAUGAUAAUGGUAAGUUUGAGUUGUGAUAGAUCUGAGAAAUGAAAGCACUGAUCACCGCUUUAAGCAAUCUUAAUUUUCUUAUGAUGUAUGGUAAGAUGCAGUUCUUUUAUAACAUGGCUAAUUUAGGUUACUUUUCUUGCUUGCAGAGGCAUGGAUUGGAGCUUGCUAGAUACAUUGACCUGGCCUAUUUAUCUGGUUCACUAUUUAAUGGUGAUGGGCUACACAGAUGGUCCCGAAUGGAAAGGAUUUUUUAUCCAUGCACUGGAGAGAGAAUAUUACACUUUAUCUGCUGGUAAGAAGCUCUUGAUUUUGCAAAUCUUGUGUGAUGAUGUUUUAGAUUCUGAGGAAUUAAGAGCAGAGAUUGACAUUCGCGAAGAAUCAGAAGGGGGAAUAGAUCCAGAUACGGGAAUGGUUGUUGCUCCCGUGGCUGGACCAAGAAGAGUUCAUCCUAGAAAUUCCAAAACUUCUGCUUGUAAAGGUCAAGAAGCAAUGCAAAUUAUUGCCCAAAGUCGUGAAAUGAAGUCAUUUUCCAACUCUGGUAAUUUGGGGUUGAGUGUUCAGGGACAAGAUGGUAUUUCGGAUAUGGAUCAGGAUGGUAAUGGCGAUGAAUGCCGUCUUUGUGGCAUGGAUGGGACCUUGCUUUGUUGUGAUGGGUGCCCAGCAUCUUAUCAUUCCAGAUGCAUAGGAGUGUGCAAAGUGUUCAUACCAGAAGGGCCAUGGUAUUGUCCCGAGUGUACAAUAAAUAAGGUAGGGCCAAGAAUCACAAAGGGAACCACAUUAAAAGGAGCCGAAGUAUUUGGUGUUGAUGUCUAUUCUCAAGCAUUUAUCGGUGCUUGUGAUCAUUUACUUGUGUAUGUACUUGUUCCUUAUCUGGAUUGCUUUUCUUUCGUUUAUUUUUAAAUGCUAAUGAAUUUUCUUAAAGCUUCAUGUUUAUGAUUAACAUUGAAUUCUCAGGCUAAAUGCUUCAACAAAUUUACAUUCCUGCGCAAGAUAUUACAGUAAAAAUGAUAUUCCAUGUGUCCUUCAAGCACUUCUUUCAAGUGUGGAGCAUAUUGUUAUGUACAAGGAAAUAUGCAAGGCUAUCAUCCAGUAUUGGGAAAUUCCAGAAGACAUCAUUUCAUUUACUGAAACAUCUGAAAUUGCUGAUCAUCAGUUAGCAGAAGAGCAUCUUAAUUGCACCAUGCCAUCAUCUGUAAUGCCAUUGGGCUUGGUAAGUCAUAAUGUUCCAGAGACACUCCGAAGUGAGGAUACUUCAAGCUGUAUUUUUGGUGCUAAUUCAGGAAACAUGAACAAGGCCUCUUUGAGUGCAGUAACAUCUGAUCAUGCUGUUCAACAGGGAAAUGGAGAUGCAUCUAUAGAAACAGUUGGCCCUCAAAUGAAUAUCCCUGGGGAGGUUCAAGUGAAAUACACUGUGUUUCCAGGUUCUCUUGACCAGGGGACUGUUCAGUCUGAUUUCAUGUCAAGAGAAAAGUCAGGCCCAGAGACUGCUACAUGUAUGUCAACAAAUAUGUUUGGUAAUUGCAGGGACUACGUGAGUGGACCUUAUGUGACACCUAAACUUGCUGUUGCCCAUAAACACAUCAAGAUCAGGGUUGGUAAAAGUUUCCAUGGUACAGAAAAUGCUAUCUCAUACAUGGGAUCUUCCUUUAAAACCCAGGGAUAUGUCAAUAACUAUCUACAUGGAGAUUUUGCUGCAUCAGCUGCUGCUAAGCUGGCAGUUCUUUCAUCUGAAGAAAACCAGGUUUCUGGGUCUCACUCAUCAGAUCGUCGGAAACUUAUUUCCGCUAAUAUAUCACUUCAAGUAAAAGCAUUUUCGUCAGUAGCUACGCGCUUUUUCUGGCCUCAUACAGAGAAAAAGCUCAUUGAAGUACCAAGGGAAAGGUGUAGUUGGUGUUUUUGUUGUAAAGCUUCUGUUUCGAGCAAAAGAGGGUGCUUGUUGAAUGCAGCUGUGGCAAAUGCCAUAAAGGGUUCUAUGAAGAUUUUUGCUGGUCUUCGUCAUGCAAAGAGUGGAGAGGGAUGUCUUCCUGGAAUUGCUACAUAUAUUAUGUUCAUGGAGGAGAGUCUAAGUGGUCUAACUGUCGGCCCCUUUCUAAGUUCAGCAUUUAGAAGACAAUGGCGCACACAAAUGGAGCAUGCUAAUACCUGUGGUGCAUUAAAGUUACUUUUACUUGAGGUCUCUCUCUCUCUCUCUCUCUCUGUUUGUGUGUCUUUGUGUCUGUUUGUGGCCCCCUUAUACAAGUCAUUGAGUUACUACCUCUACUCCAAGCAAUUUAGCCAUUUAUUUAUUUACAUUGUGGAUCAUGUUUAUCUACUGGUUUUGCUAAGUGGACUUUCUGACAAUUGCUUACUCUUUCCAACCCCUUAUCCACAGUUUAAGUUAACCUGCUAUGCAAAGAGUAGUGGUUUCACUUAAUGUCGUGGAGUAUUUUCAUUUGCCUGGUGUAUUGAAAUCUUUUCCUUUUUGGUUGAGGUAUUGAGGUUUUACUUUAUUUACUAAAGAAAAGAAAGGGCAAAAGUUUUUUACUUGACGGUUUAGAUAAGGAAAGUUUGUAAAAUAUGGAAGUUACAUUCUCAAAUAAAUGGUGCAGUAGUGAGUGCUCAUUAAUCUGGCUUUAGAUGAGCCUGAUUUUCGUCUGACUUCUUAAUUGCUGCUGUGUGAGUUAUUUGCAUUUUCUAUCUAUUAUAUUUCUGCAUUUAGCUGAUUUAACAGGUUUAUUUCAUUGCACAAAAGGUUAACAUACUUAUUCAUACAUUGGGUAAGGUAGGUUUCAGAGUGAGAAUCAAAUAUUUCGUGGUGGUUGAUGGUUUUGUUGCUCAUGAGUGAAUUGGGGAUUCUGUUCUCUAUUUCCAUUUCCCUUCCCCUCCCACAUCUUUCUUCCCGCCCCUGCCCCGCUAAAAGAGUUGAAGAAAAAUCAAGUUUUAAGAAUAGACUAGCCUUUUCCUUUUGCCAUUUAUGGCUUUAAAAGCCUGUUAUUGUUAUGGCUGGUGCUGGUGUUGUUCCAUUAGAUACUUUGUCUCAGCAACUCAUAGGUUUUGUACCUUCAUUCAUAUUGUGCUGUUUUUGAAUGUCUAAACUUGAUGUUCCAGUUACAUUAAGACUGUAAUUUUUUUGCAGCUUGAGGAAAAUAUUCGUACCAUUGCUCUUUCUGGGGACUGGGUUAAGCUUGUUGAUGGUUGGUCAGCUGAGUCUUCUGUCACUCCAAAUGCUGUUAAUGCUUCUGGAUCCACUCAGAAACGUAGACCAGGGAGACGUGGAAGGAAAACAUCUGUCAUGACGGAAGUUACUGCGGAUGAUAGCCAGGACAUAUUGGCUGACUUUACUUGGUGGCGAGGUGGUAAGCUGACAAAGCUUUUAUUACAAAAAGGGGUUCUGCCUCGCAUACUGGUGAAGAAAUCUGCACGUCAAGGUACUGAAAGUUUUUUUGACUCUUCCAUGGAAACUUGAACUGCUUCUAUUUUCAUUUUCCUAUUUGAUCUGUGUUACUCUUUUAUAAACAUAAAUCUAGUUGUCAUGGCAAGGAGUAACUAACACAUUUUGGAGUAGCAGGUGGUUCAAGAAAAAUACCUGGCAUUUACUAUGUUGAAGCAUCUGAUACUCCUAAAAGAAGCAGACGACUUGUUUGGCGAGCUGCUGUUGAGAUGAGCAAGAAUAUUUCCCAGCUUGCACUUCAUGUUUGUUCUCUUCUCAACCUAUUCUGCUCUUGGGUGCAUUUAUACGUGCCCUUCAUUUUUUUCUUUGGUAUUUUUUCCAUCAUCAGAAUGUUAUGAGCUAGUGUGUUUUGGAUGGUUUUUACUUUUCAGACUGCCUUUAAUUCAUGAAAUUGACUCUUGUAACAGGUUAGGUACCUAGAUUUUCAUGUGAGAUGGAAUGAUCUUGUUCGCCCAGAGCAGAAUAUUCAGGAUGUAAAAGGCCCAGAAACAGAGGCUUCUGCUUUUAGAAAUGCUUAUGUUAGUGAUAAAAGAGUCAUUGAUAAUGAUGCUACAUAUUGUGUUGCUUUUGGGAAUCAGAAGCAUCUUCCUUCUCGUGUGAUGAAGAACAUAAUUAAAGUGGAGCAAACCCAAGAUGGAAAGGAGAAAUAUUGGUUUUCGGAGACACGCAUUCCCUUGUAUUUGAUCAAGGAGUUUGAAGAAAAUGCAGCGAAAGUUCUGAUACAAAAAACAGACAAGCCCGUAAAUGCAACUGUAAACUUGCAAAGGAGGAGGUUGAAAGCUUUCCGGAAAGAUGUAUUUUCUUAUCUUGCACGAAAGAGGGAUACUAAGGAUAUGUGCUGUUGUGCUUUGUGUAAACAAGAUGUUUUAAUGGGGUAAUUCUUCUGCAUAUUCCUAUUUUCUUUUAGUUCUUUUACUAUUUGUCAAUUAAUUGAGGUUUUCUUUAUCUUUUAUGCACAGGGAUGCUGUCAAGUGUAGUGUUUGCAAAGGUAUUACAAAAUACUUUUCUGUAUUUUAUGACUUUUUUAGCAAGUUAGAAAGUUAUUAUGCCUUUUACUUUCUUGUUUGUCGGGUUCAAGUUUUUGAAGAUAAUGAGAGCCUUGUUAUGGUUCAAUUCGUCGCCAGCGAUUUUACCCAUACCCACAAUCCCAGAAAAAAAAAGAAUGAGAAAAAAAAAAAGAGUAGAGGGCUAAAGUCAUGGAGAAAAGUAGGAAAGGAAGAUGUUGAAUGAAAGGCUGAAGUUUUAAUAGCACAUCUAGCCUUCCAUCCCUAUAUGUAGGGAAAAGAUGAGCUUUAAUAUGGACAUGUAGGGAUGGUAACAAUUAAUUUGGCAGAUAUGUCCUCUUAUACAUGCCUAUAAUCAAACUAUUAUCAGCUUCGUGAGAAUCUUGAAAUGCUAUUAGCAUAUGUGUUUUACAUGCUCCUUGGGAAUCUUGAAAUGCUAGUUUCACAUGUUUUACAUUGUUAAACUUUAAGGAAAGUGACCAACUGUAUGCAUUUUGACUAAGUCUUUAAUUUAUUAGAACUGCAAUGUUUACCAGAUUAUAUUUCUGUCAUGCAAUCUUACUUCUAUGAUAAAAGUGUCACUUGUGACAUUCAAGGACUCUCUCACUAAUUUCACUGUCUAAUAAAGUACCGUGCCACUCUCUCAGUCUUUACCCAAUUUACACAUGAGACAAACUUGUUACCAGAUUGCUCUUCCUAAAUUAUCACUCUGGUCAGAAUUGAUCUCAUUAUCUCUCUCUAGUCAAGACAUUGUGUCUUAACAGAAAGGGGAAUUACUAAUUUUCUUCAAAAAGUUUCUCCUCAAAUUCUACCUGGGAACUGUUAUUUACCAUUCCUUUUCCCCCUGUUCUCGGAUCUUCUUGGACAGUUUUCUUUUCAACUUUCUUGUUGUUUUGUAAUUGUGAAAUCAAUUUACCUAUGUACAAAACAAAGAACCUAGAAUGUAUAUUCUGCCUAGUUUGGAAGUUUAAGAGAGUUCUUUUGUGCCGGACAAUAUUUUCAAUUUUUUUGGAAAAUUUGCAGCCUUAGUUUUUAUUGGACUGGAAUAUGGAUAAAGUUUGCUUUGAAAAGCUUCUUUUUCUGCCUUCUGUGGAAACAAAUGACCAUUUGCUUCCUGUUUCUGCCAUUGGAGUGAAGAAUGCAGAAAGGGCUUUCCUUUGAAAGCAUUGCUUUUGGAUUUAGAUGUAUCUUCUGUUCCUGACAAAAUGCUACAAAGGUGUUUUCUUUAAAGCUUUAAAGUUCUAUAGAUAUUUUGGAGAACACAAAAUUUUAAAAAUACAUUGACAGUGCAAAACAUUUGGAAAUUGUUGGAAGUUGUUUGAAUCAUAUUAGAAAGUUUUGUUUCUUUUUGUUGGAUACUGUAGUUGAGCUUCAGACUUUCUAUGGCAAUAUCUGGCUGGCUUGUCCCUUAGUUUGUUAGAAAUGUAUUUGUUGUGAACUUUUAUGUUCUUUCCUUUCAGGGUAGAGAACUGAUUUAGAUAAAGAAAUGUGCCAUACAUGCACCCUCAGCUUGUCGAUGAUGCGUUUCCUAUGACUCCACAAUUUUUUGCAUGUGGCUGAAUUUAUGAUAAAUUAACUAUCUUUUGACAUCCAAGCUAUUUCAGAUGCUUGCCUGUGCAUGCAAAGUAAAACAUUAUUGGUCAACCUAUUUCAGACGUUAAUCAUGUCAUUUAAUGUCUGUUUUCCAUUAUCCUUGGGUUAAUUUUGUUUAUUCUUAGAUGCAAUGUGAUUUUAAACCAGCAAAAAGCGAGAGGCUCUGAAUAUGAACACCUCUAGGACCACCUUUGGUUUCGUAUAGACAUGUACUUAUUGAGAAAUAUAUAUAUUUUUUGGUUGGCAAGUUUGGCCCUUCUCAUUCUAUUCUGGAAUUUAUUAACUAAAAACUUGACAAUUUGGUACAGGUGCCUGUCAUGAGCAGUGUACUGUAAGUUCAACAGUUCACAUCAAUGAGGAAGUUGAAUUCCUGAUCAUUUGCAAGCAGUGCUACCACUCUAAAGCUCUGAGUCAAACUGAAAAUAAUUAUGAAUCUCCAACAAGUCCUUUACUUUUGCAGCGACAGGAAUUUGCUCCAGUGAUGGUGAGGAAAGCUGAAAACCCAAUUGGUUGUGAUCAGCCAUCAAUGGCUGUCAAAACUGUACAACAUGCUUCAGAUUCAAAAUCAAUUAAUGCCUCUAAAUCCGGAUCCACAAGCAAACGGAAAUUAUGUUCUUGGGGUCUGAUCUGGAGGAAGAAAAAUUGUGAAGACACUGGGAGUGAUUUCAGAUCAAAAAAUAUUCUUCUGAAGGGCAGUAGAGACUUCGGGCUGUCUGGGCCCCUCUGCCACCUUUGUCGUCAGCCAUAUAAUUGUGAUCUAACGUACAUUCGCUGUGAAACUUGCUUAAGUAAGCUCAAUAUACCUAAUGUGUUUCACCUGUCUUUUUGUUACCCUUGGUUUUCUGGAAAAUAACAUUGCUUUGGUCUGUGGUCAUUCUCAGACUGGUAUCAUGGAGAAGCUGUUGAACUCCAGGAGUCAAAGAUUUCCGAUCUGCUGGGUUUCAAAUGUUGCAGGUGUAGGAGGAUUAGAUCGCCUGUGUGCCCUUACUUGGAUCCAGACAGCAAAAAGCAAUUAGAGGAGAAGAAGACACGCAGUAAGCCUGCAAAGCAAGAUGAGAAGGACCCCAGUGUGGAUGUUGUCCCUCAGCAAGUCAAGCUGGAACCUGCUAUGCCUCAUUUGCCUGCAAUGGAACAAGUGGUGUAUGUAGCAGAGGAUGAUCCUCUACUUUUUAAUCAUACGAGAGUUGAGCAGAUAACCGAACAGAACUCUAGUGUUGAUUAUGAGUGGAAUGCUACAAGUGUUUCUGGGUUCGGGCCACAAAAACUGCCUGUUAGAAGGCACAAUAAACGUGAUAAGGAAGAAGAUUGUUCUUUAGCUGGCAAUUCAGCUCAUGAUGACUUGUCAGCUUUUGGAGGAAAUGUCUUUAACUCUGCAGACGAGUCAUUGUCUCAGGUUCAGUGGGAUCCUACUGCAAGUGGCUUUGGUGAUGGUAUGAUGUUCAACUAUGAAGACCUCAGCUUUGAGGAUAUGGAGUUUGAGCCUCAGACUUAUUUUUCAUUUAAUGAGUUGCUUGCAUCUGAUGAUGGUGUUCAACAGGAUGUAGUUGGUUCAGCUGAGGAUGUGGCAGAGAACUGGGAGAAUUCAUCCAUUCUACCAAGCGAUGGGGUUGUUGAUGCAUCUUUCAAUCAGCAAGAACCUUCAAGCUUGGUUAAACAUGCAGUUAAUGCAGUGCCUUGUAGAAUGUGCACUCGUUAUGAACCCUGCCCUGACCUUUGUUGUCAGAUUUGUGGUAUCCUUAUUCACAGUCAUUGUUCUCCAUGGAUUGAGCAGUCAUUGAGGGAUGGUGGCUGGAGAUGUGGUAAUUGUCGCGAAUGGUUUUAGUUGAUCUGCAAUCCAUGUUAGAAUGCUGCUUUGUCCAAUAAGCUCUUACUUGAGGUGGUAGAGUGGAGUAUGCCGAAAGAAAACGCACGCUUAGUGAGCACCAUUAAGAGAAGAAGUCAAAACGGUAAGAAUUCCUGGUUUGGAUCUUUUGGAAGAUGGGAAUUCCCGUCUCAGCAUUGUCCCAUAUAGGUUUUUCAAAAUUAAAGCCCCUAUCAAGUUGAGUUUUGGGGCCAAUAGAGAUAAGCAAAAUAUUUUUUUGUAUGCUUAUCUGAUUUUUGGUUUGGCUGUAUACAACAAUGUUUUAGCUGGCAUUUUGAAAAUCAGUACCAACAUCUGUCCUAGCUUUACAGUGAUAUACGUGUUCUAGCUUUAUAGUUGCAUUAUGUUGGAGAUUGGAGGUUCAAAUGUCACCCUAAAGAUGACUUGAGCCAGGAAAAGUACGGAUUUAUGAAAGUACCCAUCGAGUAUAAUUUGCUACUAACGUGCUUCCCCAGUGGAAACCUUUAUGGUAGGAAGGCGUUCUAUCGUAGGUAGAGGAGCAGAGCAUGACACGUGUAUUUGGAAAUAAAGGUGUUAACGGAUCGAUUAUAUUGUAGUCGUAACGCGCGUGGAGAAUAGUCAUAUAGAAACAUUGUAUGUGAUUUGGUAUAUUUUAAUACUCUGCCAUUUUCAAGACAUUGAUCAAACAUGAUCAGUUCAAUUUCUUUCAUUUUCUCCAAAAACUUUCAUUUUUUCUUCUUGUAUCUUUUCGUUUUCAAUACAUCAGUUUGGACCAAAAAAAUAAAAUAAAAUUAAAAAUAUGUAAAAGAUUCAUAAAUUAACUGAAAAACACUUUAUAGACUAUCGAAAACAUUAUUUUUGUAACUUGCAAAAACUUCCAAUAAACAUUCAAGAACUAACUAUUGGUAUUUAAAAAAUGCAUUAUAUUUUAUCGAAUCAGAAUAAAUCCUUAUACUUUUUUAUUUUUAUUUGUUUUAAAUAUACUCAAGUUUUGGUAAUAAAAAGUAAGACAACAAAAGGGUAAAUUUGGAAUUACAUUUUUUAAUGUACUCAAAAUGAAUUUUUUAAGUAUUAUAUUUUAAAAUGAGUUGUAAAUAAACAAAUAGUUUAAAGUAAGGGAGGCAAGUGAGUUUCACACCCAAAAAAAAAAAAAAAAGAGAGGCAAGUGAGAUUUUUUAAAAUUUGUGAGUGCCAAGUAAAAUUGUUAGAAACCUGAGUGCCAAGUAAAAUUGUUAGAAACCUUCAGGGAGGUUUAUGAAAUUAUCCCAAACAAAAAUUUAGAAUGAAUAAGUUGCUUUUUAUAACGGUUCUAAAGGUUGUUUGAGAUUUUAUAAAUUAGGUGUCUUGAGUUUGCUAAAAAAAUUUCUUGCAUAUCUAUAGCUAGUGGAAACGGAGUUUAAACUUGCUAUAGGUUAGUUUCUUAUUUUUUAUUGUAUCCUAAAGGGUAAUUUGCCAUUCAACCUAAUUUUAUUCUGAUUUUAUCCAACUAAUAAAUUGGCUUAUGGAAAAAUGGGUAAAUGGAUAAUUUAUGGAGGAAAGCCAUAAAGAGUUGGUGUUUUAUUGGAAAACGGGUUUAUUUUUAUUUUAUCCGAUAAAUAAAUUUAUUUAUGGAAAAAGGGUACUUUGUUCUUAUAAUGGAGGAAAUCCAUAAAGAACUGGUGUUUUAUUGGAAAACGGAUUUAUUUUUAUUUUAUCCGAUAAAUAAAUUUGUGUAUGGGAAAAUGGGUAUUCUAUUCUUAUAAUGGAGGAAAGCCAUAAAGAACUGGUGUUUUAUUAGAAACGGAUUUAUUUUUAUUUUAUCCGAUAAAUAAAUUUGUGUAUGGGAAAAUGGGUAUUCUAUUCUUAUAAUGGAGGAAAGCCAUAAAGAAUUGGUGUUUUAUUAGAAACGGGUUUAUUUUUAUUUUAUCUGAUAAAUAAAUUUGUUUAUGGGAGCAUAGGUACUCUGUUCUUAUAAUGGAGGAAAGCCAUAAAGAGCUGAUAUUUGAUGAGAAAAUGAUACUUUAGAAUACCAAUGGAUAACAGUUAAAACACAUUCACAGAUUUCGUAUUUUAAAUAAUGAGAUUGUUUUUAGGGGUGUUUUUAUGGUUGUUUUUUGGGAUAUUUUUAGAAUUUAAGAAUUAUUUGAUAUAUUUUAUAAAAAUUUCAACCACCCACCACCACACACUGGGACCACGGGCUAGCGAUUUUGUGUAUUUUGCACACCGACCCAUAAAGAGCAGAUGCUUUGUUCAUAUGUUGGAGGAGUGCCAUAAAGAGCUGGUAUGUUAUGGGUAAAUGGGCACUUCAUGCAGUGAUAGGGUACAAUUUGUUAGUAAUUUUAUUAUUAAUUUUCCCUUUUAUCCCUGACAAAUAUUGUGUUAAUUGCUGAUAUUUACUCAUAUUUGGUAUGUGGACGUAAUUUCAGGAAUAAAGCAGAAAACUACCAAAAGGAGGGAUUUUAUGGAAAAUAUGGAGACUUCUAAGGGCUUCAAUGCUUGGGUCCUUGAAUUUGUGGGGACCACAAGCUAGUGGAAGGCAUCUAGUCAUUUGGACUCUUAAAAGAAAGCUACGGAAAGAGACUUGGGGGCAAGAAGUACUUUGAAGGCUUUGUCCACAUGUGUGGGGACCACCUAGAUAGCCUUUAGUCAUCUUUCUUUUAUUGCUUAAAUAGAGAUAACGUAGAGUAGCAGAGGGAUAUCUCUGGUUUUAGUCUUUUAGUGUAGCUUUACUUUUUCCUUCUUUUGACUGGCCUCUGGCACACGCCAGGUGUUCGACAAAAUUCCCCAACGGGAAAAACACCUUUUAUUCCUUGCUUCUUAAUAGAAAACGCUAUGCCUUUGCAAUCCAUUAAUUCGUGUGGUGAUUUAAUUAUGCGGCGUGGCUAAAUCUUCCAUCUAGUCAAGGAUCAACUCGACGGCGCAGUCCCGAAAACCUGUGAGAUCUAAUUAGUUUUCACGCGUUCCUUAAUUUAUUAAUAAUUGCACGUUGCCUGCUUGUAUUUUCAUGGGAUUAUUUUAUUAAUUGGAUGUCAAGGGCCGAUGUUCAAUGUGAUUUAUUAGUCUCGUGCCAAUUUAGUCAAUUAAAUCCGUAAUUGUUUGAUUGAUUAAUAUUAGUGGCAACUGGUGUGUUUACACAUUAGGGGAACGUGCAAUCUAAUUUAAAUAACCCUCGUAGCGUGUUAUUGGUUAGGGCUAGGUUUUUCUAAUAUUAAUGCAAUUGGGAAAUUAAUUCCUACGGUCGUACCUAGGAGUAUUUUCUGGUUAGGGGUGAUCAAUGGUCGUACCUUGGUUAUCAAUAAUUUAAGGAAAAAUUGGUCGUCAGACUAUAACUAACCUAUUAAUAAAUUAAGUGAACCUCUCCUGCAUCAAUGAUCGGAUAAAUGGACUGUGCCUGAGUAGUUGUAUCCUUGGCUAGAACUUAUUUAUUCUUGAUUUAAUUCCUGCUUUACUUGUGCUAGUGAUUUAUUUAUUUUUAAUUAAAUUGUUUAAUUAUUUUUAGUUCCAUUCCGGUGAAAUCCCCCCUUAUCAAUUGGACUUUAAAAAGAGACAGAUAUCCCCAGUCCCUGAGGAGACGACUUUACUUGCCACUGCCUACUAUUUUUGCCAACUAAUUAAUUCUGGUAUAUCGGGUUCAGCAAACUCUUCGGGAACAGGGUGAAUCAAGUAACCCAUUGCACACCUAGAGUCCCUGCUCCAGUACCUAGGAUUAAUUAUUGACAGCUCUUAGUGGUAUCUAGGUUCUAUAUUAUUAUUAUUAUUGCACAGGUUGACGACCUGUCAUGCAGCAAAACUGUAAAUUGGUAGCAUUUCUAUAAAGAAUAAAUGAAAAACGGGUAUAAUUGGCCAUUUGCUCUGAUUUUAUCUGAUAAAUAAAUUAAUAAUCUUACGAUACCCUGCAUAACUAAUAAAAAUUUUUUGAAAAAAUGGGUAUAACAUGUUAAACCCACAUAUUCGCCAUUUACUCUGACUGUAUCUAAUAAAUAAAUUAUUAAUCUUUCGGUACUCUAGACUUAUGAAAUGGAGACUGGUGGGUUAUGCAUGCAACAUGAAUUAAAUAAAUAAUUCAUGGAGGAGUGAUAUAAAGAGUUGGUAAUUCAUUGAAAAAAGGGGAAAAUGAGCACUUUAUGGAGGAAAGCCAAAAAUAAAUAGUAAUUAAUGGGAACACGGGUAUUACAUAUUAAACCCAUUUAUUCACUAGAAAUUUUACUCUGAUUUUAUCUUGUGAAUAAAUUAGUAUUUUUGGAAUUUAUAUAUAAUUAAUUUUUUUCUUUUGCAUUUCUAUAAAAAAUUAAUCGAAAAUUUUUUUUCGAGAGCGCAAAAAUUCACAAGUCAAAAGAGUUGGUCUAAAAGGGAAAGAAAUAGCUGAAUAUCAUUGUUUUAAGUACUAAAUAAAUAGAUGUAAAAUGCUCGUUAAAAAUUGGUACUUUGAUCAUAUAAUGAAAGAAAACUAUAAAGAACAAGCCAUUUACGGGAAAAGUUUUCAUUAAUAAAAAUACGUAACCUGAGGGGGAGAGGGGGCCAAUUGGGGGUGGGAGUGGUAGUAGCAGUGUGUGGUGGGUGGCGACAGGGGUGGUGGUGGGAGGGAGAAGAAAAGGGAGGAAGGAGAGGGAGAAGAGAGGAGAGUGAAAGAGGAAGAAAAUAGAGAGAGAGAGAGAGAGAGAGGGAGAAAAUAGAGAGAGAGAGAGAGAGAGAGAGAGAGAGAGAGGGAGGAGAAGGGGGGUGGCAAUGGGUAGGAUGAGAGGUAGGAGUAGUUAUCAGAUGGACCGCUCCUGAACUGUUCACGGCUAAGAUUUGGCCCAAAAAAAUUGUACGGUUCAGAUCACUUCUUGUACCUUGUUUUUAACAAUGUGUGUGGAGCCCACAAAAAUUUGUUCUAAAGUUACGCGUUGUGUAAAUAAAGUUACGUCAUGUGCAAACAAAAUUACGCGGUGUGAAAAUACACAAAAUCGCUAGCCCGUGGUCCCAGUGGGUGGUGGUGGGUGGUUGAAAUUUUUAUAAAAUAUCUCAAAUAAUUCUUAAAUUCUAAAAAUAUCCCAAAAUACAACCAUAAAAACACCCCUAAAAACAAUCUCAUUAUUUAAAAUACCAAAUUUGUGAAUGUGUUUUAAUUGUUAUCCAUUGGUAUCUUAAAGUAUCAUUUUUCCAUCAAAUAUCAGCUCUUUAUGGCUUUCCUCCAUUAUAAGAACAGGGUACCUAUGUUCCCAUAAACAAAUUUAUUUAUCAAAUAAAAUAAAAAUAAACCCGUUUCCAAUAAAACACCAACUCUUUAUGGCUUUCCUCCAUUAUAAGAACAGAGUACCUAUUUUCCCAUACAUAAAUUUAUUUAUCGGAUAAAAUAAAAAUAAAUCCGUUUUCCAAUACAACACCAGCUCUUUAUGGUUUUCUUCCAUUAUAGGAACAGAGUUCCCAUUUUUUCAUAAACAAAUUUAUUUAUCGGAUAAAAUAAAAAAACCUAUUUUCCAAUAAAACACCAGUUCUUUAUGAUUUUCCUCCAUAAAUUAUCCAUUUACCCAUUUUUCCAUAUGCUAAUUUAUUAGUUGGAUAAAAUCAGAAUAAAAUUAGGUUGAAUGGCAAAUUACCCUUUAGGAUACAAUGGAAAACAAAAAACUAACCUAUAGUAAGAUUAAACUUCGUUUCCACUAGCUAUAGAUUAUUUUUGCAAACUCAAGACACCUAAUAUAUAAAGUCUCAAACAACCUUUAGAACCAUUAUAAAAAGCAACUUAUUCAUUCUAAAUUUUUGUUUGGGAUAAUUUCAUAAACCUCCCCGGAGGUUUCUAACAAUUUUACUUUGCACUCACAAAUAUUGAAAAAUCUCACUUGCGUCCCUCACUUUAAACUAUUUGUUUAUUUACAGCUCAUUUUAAAAUAUAAUAUUUAAAAAAUUCAUUUUGAGUCUUACUUUAAUAUUCUAAAUUUACCCUUUUGUUGUCUUACUUUUUAUUACCAAAACUUGAGUAUAUUAAAAACAAAUAAAAAUAAAAAGUAUAAGGAUUUAUUCUGAUUCAAUAAAAUAUAGUGCAUUUUUUAAAUACCAAUAGUUAGUAUUUGGAUGUUUAUUUGAAGUUUUUGCAAGUUACAAAGAUAAUGUUUUGGAUAGUCUAUAAAGUAUUUUUCAAUUAAUUUAUGAAUCUUUUACAUAUUUUCAAUUUUAUUUUAUUUUUUGGUCCUAACUGAUGUAUUGAAAACGAAAAAGAUACAAGAAGAAAAAAUGAGAGUUUUUGAAGAAAAUGAAAGAAAUUGAACUGAUCAUGUUUGAUCAAUGUCUUGAAAAUGAUAGAGUAUUAAAAUAUAUCAAAUCAUAUACAAUGUUUCUAUAUGGCUAACAUUCUCCACGCGUGUUAAGACUAUAACAUAAUCGAUCUGUUAGCACCUUUAUUUCUAAAUACACGUGUCAUACUUUGCUCCUCUACCUACGGUAGGACGGUAAAUGCCCUUCCUACCAUAAAGGUAUCCGCUUCCCAGUGCCAUAAUUGAGAAGACAGUUUUCAUUCACCCUUUUCUCUGUAGUUUUCUUCAUAGAUUUGCUGUAGGCCCUCCUAGAAGGAAAGCACCAGUAAAAGGUGGAGCCUGUCAUUUUCGAGGACUGGAAUCGACUAAUGUUUGGGAUGAGAACAAAUAUAUUUUCUUCAUGGAUUUGCUCUAUAGGCCGUCCUAAAAGAAAAGGACCAAUGUAACGUACAGUCAAUCCUUUGAGGAGUGGUGUAAAUUAAAAGAUUUACAAUAAGGGAUGAGAACAAAUAUCUCGUAACAAUAUUAGUGCUAAGGAUUACGUUAAAACUGUUGUCCCAUUUAGAGAUACACCCGUCUCACAUUCAUUUGUAUUUCAUGGCCGUCUGCUUCAAAUUCCUAACUCGUGUACUUUUCCCUCCCACGUACCAGCAAAAUUUCAUGUUUUCCUUGGUAAGGAUUUCAGCACCUCCAAGCUUUGUAAGGAUUGCAACACUUCCAAGUUUCUCUUGCCACACUAUCCUUUAAGUUAGAGGAAUUUAACAUCUUUGAUCAACCUACCAUCGAUGACAGUCCAACAUAUUUUUGAUGAGCCUCUGCUUCAGGAAUAUUCAUACAAGAUGUUGUUGCAUUUACGGGUUCUGGUUUGGUAUUUUGGCCAAAUGCAACUACUAGUCUCUCAAAAUUGAUUUUCUCGUCUUCACGCUUAACUAGAAAUUACAAUUCUUCAGAUGAGAUCCAUUUCAUCCAAAAAAAUUGAGUGAGAUACUUUAGUAGCACUAGUUCUUGAACCUCUCGCUUCCCAUCAUCCCAUGAGGGUGCCCGGGUUUUCCUGAGAAGAGGAAAUGUACUGUGUUUCUGUGGUAGCGUGUGUUGAAUGGUUGGGAGCAGGGAUACUAUUUAUCAUAUAAACUAUACAUAAACAUAGUACCAUACAUGAGCAUGGAUGAUCAUAAAAAAUACCUACAUCCUAUGCCAAUUAUCUGGGAAGUUAUAACAUGGCGUGGUUAUGUAGCGUAUAUAUACCAGUAGCAAUCCCAAGGCUACAUUGAUCAAGAGCAUCCAACCAAAAAACUGUUGGUUGAUUACUUUUUUUUUUUUUUUGGUAUAACCCACAGAUAUCCGCAUGUGUUUUGCAAUUUACGACUAAUCUUGUUUGAGUCACAUCAGACCUCCUUUGCAGGGAAAGUUCUCCUAAUAUUGUUUUUUUUCCAUUCCCAUGUUUUUUUGAAUCCAAGACCUCAUGUUCAAAAGAUGCAAGCCUCUUCACUUGCACCGACAUCCGUUGGUGUUGGGUGAUUACUUAGUCUAUUAGAUUCCGUUGACAAUUCUUCGACAGAAUUGAGGGUUGAAGUUGUAGAAAAGCUAUCUGGCAUUUUGUCUUGGUGGUCAUCUUAAAUAUGCGUUCAAAAGCUGUACGCGCUGGCCAAAAUAGAUAUGGAGAGAGCUGCUUUGUGGUCAUUAGUCCAUCUGGGGAUCUUGAGAGUGCAUGGAGUAAUUGUCGCUUCCGUUUAGAUUAACUAUUUUUCGGGGCAUUUUUGAAAAAUUUUAUUGUAGCAGAGUUUUCAUAGUAUAUUUUAAAAAAUAUUUUGAAAUAUUUAAGAGUAGAAGAGUUUUUAGAAUAUAUUUUGAAAUAUUUAAGAGUAGAAGAGUUUUUAGAAUAUAUUUUAGAAUUUUUUUAAACAAAAAAAAUUUUUUGACUACUUUUUAAAAAUUUUAAUAAUAGUAUUUGGAAAGCUAGUUUUUGAGAAACUCUUAAAUCCAAUUUGAGAGUGACUGUUUUUUCUUGGGCUGAGACUCGUAGUGUUCUUUUGACCAAUUGUCAGCUAGGAGUAGUGGCUUGGUUUUCAACUGGUGGUAGAGCCGCUGGCUCAGCCACAGCAGGUACGCAUGCCAAAACAUUGUAUCUAGUCAGAUUUUCUGUCCUUGAAGGAAUAGUAGAUCCUGAUUUGGAAGUAGACAGUUUCAUCUCUCAAUCUUCAUUUAGGAGCUGGAUAUGAGGCCCUUCAUUCUGCAAAGGGAGAUAAUGGAGGAUAGCAUCGAUGAGUUUUUGUUGGACUGCACGAAGCAAAGAAGAAUUCUUGAUAAAAACAAGAUAACCUGGAGCGCCAUAUCCGCAACGUCUUCACUUGUAAUUCCAAUGAGCAUCUCAGGUAAGGCUCCAAACAAAAGCAGAUGUAAAGGGAAAAUCACAAAGAAGAUCGAAGCUUGUUUAUCCGAGACCCUCACUCAAAUAUACUGUAUAUAGAUCUCUUGUCGUCUUGAGAUAUACGAUCACUAGCCUAAAGAAAAUAGAUAAAUCAACAUCACGACCUUUUCUGUGCUGAAAAAAUUGCUGUUUUCUGUUAAAAAUACAUCACGAACAAAUCUAAUAGAUACAAUUGGUCGGAACCACCCCAGGCAAUCCCAUGUGCUAUUUCAUUAUACAGAAACCAAUUAAUGAAGCCUCGCUACUUUAGAAGGGGAAAAAAAUAUAAGGAAAAGUGAGAAAUAAGAAAGCCCCCAACCCGGAAGGAGAAAACCUCACUCAAAGAACUACAUGGUUGAAAAAGAAUCUCAAAACUUCGAUCUCCAAGAAGCCCAACACCAACAAUGCUAAGCCGAUCAGAUACAAUGGUACAGCCCUGAAUCCCGCCAGCCCUUGCACUGUAUUGUUCGAAACCCACCUCAAUUUCCGGGGAUGCUUGGGCAGGCUGUCUGUAUAAUCAAUUUUACAAUAAUCGUCAUUGACAAAUUUUCAAUGAUGAAAUAAGGAACUCAAAACAAGCCAGCAAGCAAAGCCCCGGAUCAGAUGUUGCCGAAGGUGAGGGUGGAAUUGUUGGCUGAGGUUGUGGAGGUACUGGUGCAGGCGGUCGGGCAACUAGAGGGAUGCUGACUAAUUGUUCUUUAAUAAAUUCCUUCAACCUGUACAUCAUCCAGAAGAGCAUGUUUCGGGUUCAAAUUCAAGCUUAUAUCAUACAAUUGAAAGGUAAAGACUUCUGAUAGAACUCAAAGCAAAACACGUACUCAAAAGUUAGAGUAGGAUCGCCUGAGGCAACAGUCAUCCGUAGUUGAGUUCUAUCUGCUGAUCCGUUUCUACUCUAAGCUGCAUAACCAACAGACCAUCACAUCAGAAUGAUAGACAUGUUUUCAUAGUAGCAAAAGAGAAAUAAAUCACAAGCAACCUUUACUAAAUAAAAUGGGACGAAAGUCUACGGUACUAAUAAAAUAAACAAAGAGGAAAAAAAUAAUGAAGUACAUAUUCUUGGAAUAGUUUAAUCACGUAUAUUAGCAUUACGUGAGAAAACAAAGAACCAAACCCACUCAAGAACCCGGAUGACAGUAAAAUGGACAGUAAAGUGGCAGCCAUUCUUAGAAAUAAAGCCACAACUGGCUUACCAAACACAACAUAGCUCGUGUACUCUCUGAAUAGAAAGUUGUGCUGGCAACCAAAUUGUUUGGGUUUGGAUCCUGCAAAGAAAAUAAGAGGUUAAUGCUAUGAGCAUUUAUAUGCAGUUAGGAAUGAUUCAAAUGUAAAGAACACAAACAGGAUAAAGUGAAAAACUUACAAGCCCUGGACAAACCAUCAACCUGUAACUGUUGAACAAAUUGGCCAUUUCUAGAAGUGGCAUUGGUCUUACUCCUCUAACCUGGUCAAAUGGAAUAGGAUAGUCAAGUUAUACAAGUAGAUCACUAUUGCUGAAUAUAUAGUCAAACUAAAAAAUAAAGCGAAAAAUACCACUUCUUGAAGCUUUAGAGGAGGUCCAGAAAGUGAUCUCCACUGGGGGAAAAACUCUUCACCGGACACUUGUAUAGGCUGAAGAAACUUAUUCAAGACAGCAGGAAGGCGAAGUUUUACAUUGACCUGUUAAGUGAUCAGGGAAAGAUUAUUCAGAAUUAUACCACAAGUAUUAUGAGAAAAUAAAAAGAAUUCCAAACCAAAACCCAAUAAAAAAAAUAUAAUAAAUGACCCUAGAAAUUUCAUACUCAAAAUCAGUUCGUUUAAAUGCCAAAAGCUUUAUUAUGGGGUUACAAUACCACAUGACUCGAAAACUUGUAGGAAAAAUCCAGAACAGCCACAUCCCUACUUGGCCGGAGAUUAACAACCUCAAGUGGGCAUUGCACCUAAACAACAAAACCAGAUGCUUUUAAUGGAUGAACAAUCUUAAAAGAAAUGCACACAGAGAAGAAAAUGGAAAAUAAACCUGCAGUUAACCAACCUGUGCUCUUGGGGUAUAGUCUCUGGUACAAGUGAGAGUUCCAAUUUUAAGUGAGCUGGGGCAAUAUUAAAGCUUGAACUGAAACAAGUGGUGAUGUAUUCUUAUUUCCAAGGAAAAGCACUAAUCGCCCAUGUGGGGCUCUCCAUUCUGCUUUAAUGCCAAUCUGAAAUUACUCACCCAAGAAAUCAGUUGUCUACAGAGAAGGCUUAAAGGAGCUUGAGCAGGCCCAUCCAAACUGCAAAACUGAGAGCAUACCUGAAUAUAAGGAUCCUCAUACAGCACGCCACUGUCCUUUAGGCACAAAGCCUGAAACCUUUCGGCAAUAUUUCCAAUUGGCUGCAAGCAAUGAUCAGAGAGGAAACUCAAAAUCAUAAACACCACAAGAAAUGACAUAAUCAUCAUAAACACCAAAGGAAGUCCUAUGCCAUUUGCAAAAACUAAAUGUACAAAAAACUCAUCAAAGUCAUUUUCCUUGACAUGGAAUCUGUAUGGAGAAAUACGCUUGCGUGUUACAGAAGAAAACAGUAGCUAAAAUUAAAAUAAGAACAAACUCAUUCACGCAAAUUACACCCUAGGGAAAAAUCCAGCUAAAACUUCUUAAUGUACUGCCAAUUCUUAAAUUUUUGCAACCGUAAAAUCUAGAAAAUGUUGUCUCCACUACUGGACAGUGCUAAUAUUAGCCUACAACUUGCACAAGAAAGCACCUGGACAGUGUUCAUCUGGCCUUCAACAGGAGCAAUAGCCAACGCCUCCCCUGCAUUUGCGCACCAGCCAAACCAGAGCCUGAAUAUGCUCAGCUUCAGCAGUAGCACUAGGAGGCCUUCAAUAGCCAUUGGACCCAGGAGAUCUUCAAAGGCGGAUCCACAACAGUGAGUGUGCCAUUUGCUUCAGUCACAGCUGGAUCUGGAGAUUCACCAUCCUGAAAAUUUAUACAUCAAAUUAUAAUCUGAUGUGACAGUGAAGAAGUAGAGCGUCCAUAUCAACAAUUGGCUCACUAAAAUCCAGGGAAGGUCAUCUCACCACAUUACUCAUGGCAGGCACCUUUACAAGACUGAUCUGGCUCACAGUUGAAGGUCCAUUAGCAGGGUGCUGGUCGGUCACCACCAAAGCAUUAGAGUUCUGCUGCUGAGCACGCAACUUUAUUGCACUUUGCUCAGCAGUAUCAGCCUCAGAAUUUUCAGCUUUCUUAAUCAACGCAGACUGCAUAACAAAAAAACAUCACCACAAUUUUUAUCAAUCAUGGAUCAGAAUAAUACAAUAAUCAACUUUAAAAUGAAAAUCAAGUCAAAGAGUGCUUCUUCCACAAUGCUGAUUGCUGUAAUUGAUGAAACAGACAAUUGGAGAAUAAAUGAGAACUCAUAUGCACACCUGUCGCUCAGGGAACUUUGGCAUUUCAGCUAAUAUAUCCAUCAAAGCUGCACCUUUCCUACUCAGUUCAAUAUACUCAACAGCCCGCUGUUGUAGUUCAACAUCAAUACAACUUCCAUACCUGAAAGUAUGUUAAAAUGUGCCAGUGACAUUGAAGAAAUUAAGUCAUUCACUGGAUGAAUUUCAAAUUAAAACGUGAAAUUAUCUCACUUGUUGAAUAUUGCCCAAUUUGAGACUGUAGCUCCGGGUCAGGUGGUUGGGUGUGCAUCAAAAUCUUUGCAUAUGAUGAAAGAAGAAUAGAAACUGUUGGAGUCCUGAACAAACAUAUUGAAAUGAGGGAGGGAUAGCAAUGAAUAAAUACUGAGAAUGAAAGACAACAAAGCCCAAAAUCCUUACGAAACAGAAGGAAGCUUCUCAUGUAUGACACUGAAAAUUUCUUUUGGAUUACAUCCAGGCCGUCUAGCCAGAAGAUGGCUGUACUCUCCAAGAAUAUAUGCACUUACCUAUUCCAAAAAAAAUUCAGAAUUACAGGAAACUCAGUAUUCAGAAAGGCCAAGUGGAGUCUACUUUAUCAGUUGACUGCAUUAAAAUAAAAAGCACCACAAAAUCAAAUUCUGCUAAUUGAUUUUCCUCCUUGAAGAUCAACAAGUAAUAUGCAGAAUGCUUGGCAUGUCAUUAACAUGAAGCUCUAUAAAAAUGUUCAAAUGGGAAAUUGAUCUAGUAGAGUCUCUGAUAAUAGAAAAUAUCAGCAGGCAUAAUUAGAUAGAGUAAGUGAAACUGAUAGAUAAAAGAACUAUGUUCAUUUACAUCUCUGUUAUGUAUGCAUAAACAAAGUACAUACAAUGUACAUAUAUAUAUGCUUAUUCUCCCCAAAAGACUACCCAUUGCGUUGAUCGACAUGAUUUUGCUAUUUGGAAACCAAGACUAGAAGGCAUUGUAAAUGAUCAUCAUAUUCCUGUUAAUCAAAUUUGAAGGCAAUGGGAACAAACCUUAACCAUAGUUUCAUGAACAGCAGGCUUAUCAAGAUACUCUCUGGCUUUCAGUGCAGCAUAAGGCUGAUAAAGAAUACAAAGACAUAGGUUACUCGUAUGAAGAUUUAAAUUAUAUAAAUCCAGAAAAGAGCUACCCUCGUUACCUGUAAAUCCUCGUUAUUCGUAACGAACUGCACCACACGAAACCAAAUGUCAUCACUGACAAAAUCCCUGCCUUGUCAAUCAACUGAAGGAUGACAUCCACAUACCUACAAGUGAAAAGUGAAAAGCAUUACAUAUGGACUCUAUUACUAGGUUACUGAAUAUUUGUUUAGGUUGGUCUUUGAAUGAAUGGCGGAUCAAAUCCCAUACCGACUUUUUGGACUUGAAAGCCUACAAACUAUAGUACUCGAAGUUCCUGAGUUUCCUACUACUACUUGUUAGAUUCAAAAUUUGUGCAAAUUACAGUACUUGAAGCUCCUAAGAAUACCAAUCCCACCCAGGAAUUUGCAAUUCAAGCAUACACCAAAUCAACCAAGUAGAAUGACUAAGCUUGAUAGCAAAAUAUGUAUUUAUCUUUGGAGACAUUUCCAUACCAUGACAAAUCAGGGGCAAACUUCUCUGAUAGAAUUGCAAUUUUUAGUGACAAUUCUUCACGCAUAGCAAAGUCUGCAGAGCUGAGAUACUGAAAACAGAUAAACAUUAGCACGGGAAAGAACUUCAUUUGCAUUAGUACAAAAGCAACUACAUACGAAUAAUAAUUUAGAAGCUAGACAGGACAUCUGCAGUGCUUGGUCCAGCAUAUAUAUAUAUAUAUAUAUACACACAUACAUAUAGAUAUAUACCUGUAAUAAUUCUUCAACUAUGUCCUUUGCGUUGGAAACAUCACACAUGCCAUAUAGCAAAUCAAGUGCACGCCUUCGGAUGCUGUUGAUAAGAAUAAGAGUCAAUCAUAAGAAAGAUAAAUAACAGAUUUUUGUAUUUAGUUUGUGAGAGACUUGUGGUGUGAUAUAAUUUGUGUUUCAUCAUCACUUGUUUUGUGCCUCAGGUCCGGCCCCAUUAAUUCUAUAUUUUCAUUGGGUACUACUAAACCUUACUUACCCAAAAAAAAAAGAAGAUAAUUAGCGGAUGGCUUAACACUCCAAUGUAUACAUGUUAAAAAAAAACCACACAAACACACACACACAAAAACAAUCUCACAGGAAAAAAAAUAUUGAACUGAAAGACCUUAAUAGUAACCUACUGAUGUUUUAGCAAAAUAAAGAAGCUCCGCAUCCAGUGAAAAUUUCUUAUUUCUUUGAAUUAGUAUCUUAAGUUCUAGGUAACCAACCUUGUAUAUUACACGUGAAAAUAUUUCUUACAUGAUACGACCAUGUAUCUCACUCUACAUGCCUUCAGUUACCUCUUGUGCAGCUGUUAGAAAAGAGAACCACGAGGGAAAUUCCACAGAAGAACACAAAGUACUUCAUCUACCUGAUAUCAGGAUCCUUUAAUGAGGUAAUGAUCUGGGCUUGAUGUCUUUUUAUAAUGUCCUGUACAUCUGUUACCAUUAACAUCCGCGUCAUAUUCUCCUGUGUCACAGAACAAAGAAAGUAACCAGGUCAGUGCCACCAUCUCAAACUUUCUAAUAUGAGAGUGGAUGGGCCACAUCUGCAGGCUCUAAACAUCACUUAUUAGGACAAUGCAAACAACCUAUUUAAGCAGCAGAAGUAUAUAGGACAAUACAAAAACAGCAGGAAGGAAGAAGGGUAGGACAUCAGAGACUUCAGUGCAUAGAAAGCGGAAAGGAACAACUUACCAAGCCAAGAUAUCGAAUAUUUGGCUCACGCACAGCAAUAAAUUUCCCAAGCAGUGCAACACACUGGGACAUCAUCUCUUUUUCAGCAUCAAGAUGCAUGACCUGAAUAAAAGAUGACAAAAUUUGGAAAAAUACCACUAAGUAUGUGCAUAGAUGAAAUAGUUUGAAACGAACCACUACUUCAAAGCAAGUUGCAUCAUGGUUUUCUAGAGCAACCUUAACACAUUUAAGAAAGCAAUGGCUAUAACUGAGAUACAAUUAAACAGCAUAUUUGCAAUGAUAUAUCAAGUUCGGAAUUCUGCCUAAAAGUCUCUUGAAUGCACAACUACCAAGUCUAUUCAUUCUAGCCAGGAAACAUAAAGAGCUAAUAAGAAUAAGAUUCUUUUUUUUAUGAGACAUUUCAAGAACAAAAUUCCACAGCAGUAUAGCUCAAAACCAAAAUGUUCAUACUUGUUUUUUUACUCAUUUGAUACUAAAUCCAAAUUCAGAAAAUCAAUUACUUCUCAAAUUUUGUACUUGCAGUAGGAAAGGAAAUUUAACUGACACUAUUACCUUUCCACUCAUAUUGCUCAAUCUCAAACAUAUCUCAAGCAGUAAUUAUAAUUCUUCCAAAAGAAACUAUGGAAAUAAUGCAAAUCAAUCGGCCUCUUGGCUCAAAUUUACUGUUGAAAAAUCUACCCAUCAAAAGAAUCCUAAAACAAAUGAUCACUAACUACAGUACAACACACUCAAUGGUAACUUACAAGAGCAAGGGCUUCAAAAAGCACAGCAUGGGAUGCAUUAUUGUUGACAUUUUUCACUACAUCAGUUCCCAUGAGUAUCCGUUGUAAAACCUAAUUAACCAAGAUAAAUCAAACAUCAUAUCCAAUAACAAGUAAUACACUGGGAUAUAAGAUUCAGUGAAGAAACCAUCAAAAACUUCAUUUGUAAAGGAAGAACACCUCAAAUAAUGAUCUUCUAGUGUUUGGAUCUUCAACAGUAGGAAAAUACUGAAGAGCCCUCAUUGUCUUAACCUGGAUCAUGUAAUAGUGAUUAUUAAACAUAACUAACAAUUUAAAACGUCACUUAAAGAAAUAUAUUGCAUGAUACUAAUUGAUGAAAAAAAUUGAAUUGAUAUAAUCACCCACUUUUUUCCUUUUAGAAAUCCAUUCACACCACAAAAUUAUGCAAGAUGCAAUGGCAACUAAACUACAUCAAAGAAUACCCUUCUACAUUCUAUAACUGCUUCUCUCUAAGUGCGUACCCGUUCAUCCUGUAAAUCAAUCUCGUUCAACCUAAGAACUUACAGAUAAUUUAAGAUUUAAGAUCAUUCUAAAAAAGUCCUAAAUCAUAAUUUUUGUUGCUAAUUGUAAGAGCAAUUUCUGUAAACGUGUCUUGAUUUAUGAAGGCUCACCAUAGAAACCUGCAAAAAGUAUUAUGCACAGACAAGUUUCUUGGUACUUACUGACACACACCAGAAUAUGUUGAAAUACAAAAGAAGAAAGCCCAUCAAAGAAAAUUUUCUGCGCUAUACCUACCAAAGGAUUUUCUCCUGCGAGUAACAUGAUUUCCCUUGUAUGCUCAAUUCAACUCCAAUAAUGUGAUUUUAAUAAAUGCACCAAGAUUAACCCCUCAAAUCAAUUAGUUCCAGCUUUGAAAUUAUAAUCCAUGCACUUUUGGGAUUCACAAAUUCGUAGUCCUCUAAAAUCUAGAAUUAUGCUCCACCUGAAUUGUCCAAAUUAAAAAAGGAUCCAAUACAAGUGAAUUUACAUCUUUACAGUUUAAGAUGGAGUUCUCUGUUGAGAAUUAUGCUCAAACCAAAAUCUUGGACUCAAGAAACAAUAAAUGCAAGUUAACCAUUCAACAUGAGUUAUUUACAGUAUUGCAGCCCUAACAACUAACUCGGAGUUUAACAGAAAAGGCAUACAAACCUGAAGCCAGGGAGAUGGAAUACCAUAGUAAGUGUAUUCUUGUGGAAUAUCUUGGUUCCUUGCCAGCCUUUCCAAAAUUUUAACACACUUUGGCAGACAACUCCAGUAUGUGUCAUGGUUAUGCGACACUAAGGCAACUAAAAGGCUCAUUGAAGAUGUUAAGACACCCAAAUCACGUUCAUCUAACAGUUGUGCCAUUCGAUCUGACCUGAUAAUAACAACAAAUAGCUUAUCAAAUUUGCAAUGGUACAAUUAUCCAUCAAAUAUGUCUACAAUUUUAUACUAAUUACCAGCCAUCCACAUUCACAACAUCAGGAUUUUUUCUAAACAGGCGUAGGAGACAUAAAGCAGCCUUCUUCCUCACAAGGGGCCUGCAACUACUGGAUAGCUGAAGGGAAAGAAACUGUCAACAAAAAUAUUCAACUCAUUAGUACUCAAACAAAAGUCAAGAAACUGUCUGCUUACAAGUAAUUUUUGAACAUCAGGUGCAAGUGAUUCAGCAAACUCCCUCCCACCAAUAUUUCCGACCUGUACAAGGCAACAAAUAAAGACAUAACAAAAAUAAAACGAAAAAAGAAUAAAAGAAAUUUGCUAAUUAUCUAGAAAGGUCUAUAACCAUACCAGAGUCAGUGCUAGGCACUGGAAAGUCUCAUUUCUACCGAUGAUAUCAUUCCGGACUGUAUUAAUAGCUAAUCUCAAAAAGUCGUGAUUCUCAUUAGCAAACACGAUGUCACUAUGUACCCAACCUGCAGCCAGAUCGAGUCAGUUGAACAUUCCCACAAUAACAUCAUUGUCCCAAAGCAGAACAAAUGUUUAGAAAAGUUCAUGAAUGUAAGCAGUAAAUAAAUCCUAUGAAGGAUACCCUAAAGCAUCUAUUUAACAAAUUAGGGAAUUUUUCUACAUUUCCAGGCAAGAGCUAAAUUCAAAAAGACAUCAACAUCCCUAUUGCACGCAUAUUACAGAAUCAACUUUGAACAUUCAAACAAAUUCGCUGACUAUUUCCAGAUUUUAUAAUGGACCUGUUUUUGUGCUGCUGCUUUGACCUCACAAUGUGCCAGAAAGCUUACUAAGCAAAGUCACAAGCAACAUCCGCUCAGCAUUUGAUAAUUUUACUGGUUCAAUGGGUGUAGCAAACGACUGUCCAUAAAUUGGCACAAGGCAUCCAAGAACAAAUCCAAAAAUCAAAAGUUCUUAAUCCUCCAACUGAUUGUUGCAUUCAAUUGGCAAUAAAGUUUAAAUCAUUUCAAAACCAAUAGUUAUAGUUUGAUUCCAUCAAUUAUUACAAGUACUGCAUAAGGAUGGAAAAAGCACAUCUAUAUAACAAAUGAAAAAAAAUGUAAAGUGCUGCAGCAAAUUCAAAACUUUUUAGAUGCAUGCUUAACAUGAGAUAAUCGUCAUGAGUUGACAGGAUCCAGUUUUUAAUGAAUGUCAUCUAUCUCACACAGAAUCUAUUUUAGUGCAUGUAAGCAACAGAAAUAUAGCAUAGCAAAAUAAUUAUCACACAUGCAAUAAGAACUAUCCAGCACAUGUAUUGUAGUGAACGACUAGCUUAUUUAAGUUGAUUGCAAUCAAACGUAGUUGGGUUCUGAGCAAUUGAUUGAAACCUUAUUGCCAAAAGUAACAAUACUAGCAUUACAAGACAAGAUCAUUGCAUUGUGUUAUCAAAAACUGAGGUCAUCAGGUACCUGCUUUUCAGGAUACUUGGGAGCAGAUAUUAAAGAAACGGCUUCCAUGUGACCAAAGUCCACAUCAUAACCAAGCAUGUAUAUGUAAAGCAUUUUCCAGACGUAUUUCUUCUUCUCAUAAGGAGUCAAACCCUGUAGUGAACAAAACAUAUGUAAAAAAACUCAUACAAUACCAAAAUCAGACUCAUCUCUAAGAUACAGUUGAAAAUUUUGAUUGCACAGAAUAUAACAAAAUUUGCAAGCAAUAUGAAUGCCAAAAUGACAAGCAGAGCAAUAUGCUGAAAAAUAUUGCUGACAAAAAAAUUUCUGAAAAAAAUAUUAAACUUGACCAGCCCCAAGGGAAGCUACAAACUCCAAAUUUAGCAAAUAAAAACUGGCCGUAAGAGACACCCCGAAAAUUGUAAGUAAGAAAAAAAAAUUGCAGACAAUUUCGAUUUCUGCAAUAACACCCUAAGGAAGUCCAUUACUCAGAGCUCUUGUCAUAACUGAACAGUUUGUUCAACUUCAUAUAUCUAAGGAUUGGUUAAAGAAUUUGUAACGACUUUGGGUCCACAUACUACUCACAACUUGGUUUACGCAAUUGAAAUUUCUAAUUCUGCAACAAAUGAAGGAUCAAGAUCAAACAAAUAACCAGGAGAUCACAUCAGUAGUUUGGGCUACAAAAGUUGUUGGCAUAGGGCACUGAUUUGUUACAGUUUGCACCAGAAUGGCCCCCUAUGGUCUCGCAACGUGGUGAAUUGGGACAUUGUUAGACAAUGAAGUAACUUCACAGCAUGUUCAACCAAGGACAGGAGAUGAUUGCAAGACAUGAAGGUUCAUGAGAAGAAAUACAUAAGGCUGAGUUCUGAUAACUUUACCUAAGCAUUGCUGCUGAUGGACAGUGAUUAGGCUACAAAACUUUGUUUAAGUAGCUCAGGCCAUGGUAAUUGCAACUGUAAUUUUGAAAAAUCAAUUUUCAAAGACAUCACCUUCCCAAGAUCCCCACCAAAAAACAAAAAUCAGUGAGCUUCAUGUAGCUCCCAGUGAUUGCGCUGAUGAUGGCUAUAUGCAUUAGCCUCAGGAUCAGAGUAUGGCCACAAUAAGUGACAGGCUCAAGUAGAUAAGUAAAGCAGGAAAAGAGAAAAAAUAAAAAUAACAUAGGUCAGCAAAAUGAUACCGCACACAACAAGAACGUUUUGAUAAAUUAAUCUUCAUUUUAAGAUUGAAACAAAGAAGGACUACAGUUUCCUUCUGCCUUUGCAUAAAAUAUUCUAAAAUUGAAGAGGAGGUCUUGGUUAGUGAGCAUUUGAAACAAGGAAACUUCCACAAUCCCAAAUAAAAGCCUACUUGGCUUUUAGCCUGAAACGAAUCUCACCAUGAUUACUAGGGAAAUCCUUGGACAACAACGCCAGUCACCUCAGAGUCAAUGACGCACAAACAUCACUUGCCAUAUCUCUCAUAUUUUUGAAAAUGUUACUAUAUACCUGCUUCCUGAAUAUCAAAUCUGUCGUGUACAGUCUUCUAACCCUUAUCCACUUAAAACUUGUCUCUUUCACUACUUAGUUGAGCAUUAACAAACUCCAUGGAUUACCUUUUUCCCUUGCUAUAGGCCACCACCCAGAAAAGGAACAACAACAAAGAGGCUGGUGCAAUUUAUGUAUGAAUGCUUAAGUCUUCUUAACGAUUCUACAUAUAUAGCAACAAGUCAUGAAGUUCAAGGCUUAAUCAUAACUUAACUGAACAUACUAGCGAAUUAUUCUAAACCACAAAUCCAGGAAGGUAUGGUGGGACCCCCAGCUCCUACCAGUUCACACAGAUCAUACCAUGUCUUUGCCAUGGAUUGAAUGUGUUAUAAGCUGUGCAAGUAGUGCAGUACUUUCCCGAUUAUACUGAAUUUGGAGAAAUAGCCGUGCAUGAUCUAACAACGUCCAUCAAAUAACAUCGAAGAAAUCACAACUUUCAUCCAAGUAAUUUUCAGUGCUGAAAGUACAAGAAGAAAAUGAAGGUUUAGCGAAAAAGAAAAAAAAGCAGCCACAAAUGCCAAUAUUUCAACAUUACUCGUCUACACCCCUUCCGAAUUAUCAGCAUUCACUACCAACAAAAUGCUAGCUCAUUUUCAUUUCUUAACACAUUUUUUCUUCUUUUGUCCAACUAACCCUUUCCAAACAUAAAUUCCAUCUAAGAUUAUCAACUCAAAAUUUCUGAACUAGAAAGGCCUCUACUAAUCAAAUUGCCAAUGACAGAAUUCAAAAAGAAAGUAAGCAUCCAAAACGAGCCAAAAUUACAAAACCAUAAAACACUCCAAACACAUUUCGACUAAGCCUUAAAAAGUGAAUUCGGACUUCAAAUUCCACAAAUUUUAAACUAAGCCAACACAUUCAAAGCCCUCUUUAUUCGAUAAAAACCUAAUUUACACAAAUGCACCACUUAAACACAAAAAAACCUAAACACAACUCCACAAAAAUACAGUCCCCUCAGCUCAACAGCUCAUAUCGAAUUAAAAAAAGCUUUUAAAAAAAUGAUUACAAGAAAGAAAAAUAAAUGAAGUACCUUUUCAUUUUUGAAGCGAGUACGGAUAUUGCCGAGCUCUUUAUCGACGCGGAGGCGUUCUUGUUCUUUGUUCUGGCAAUUGCGGACGUCGCUGAUGAACACCGACAGCCCUCUCAUGCCAGACAACGCCAUCUCCAAGCGGUCCGAUCACAACUCCGGUCCAGAUCCAACUCAAAACGCUUGGUCCGGUUACAAUUGAAAGAUCUUAAUCCUCUGCUUUGGUUUCUUCAAAAUGAAUGCAUCUAAUCAAAAUUCCAGGUGGAAUUCACCGAGUAAAAAUCAAAAUGCUGAGAGUGAAAAAUAAUGUUUAGGGUUUGAAUUUACAAAUAGAGAGAGAACAGUGGGUGUGUGGAGGCGUGAUCUAGAGAGAGACAGAGGUGGACUGAGGAGAAAAUUUGGAAAGAGCCGUCGGGGCCCGAUAGAUAGGCUGAUGAGGAAGAAAGACGACUUUUUUUUUCUUUUUUUUAGUAUACUACAAUUUUUUACAGCAGAUGACGCCAUCAUUUCGCUUUUUUUUAUUUUUUUUAUUUAUUGACUCCGCUAUAAUAAUUAGCAUUAACAUUUAAAACUCGAUUUUUAUUUUUCUUUUUGGGUUUGGUUUUUAGUUCCCAAUUUAAAGCUUGUUGACUGGAAAAGAACCAGAAGGAUGUGGAUCCGGGACCCGAAAAGGGAUGGGUUUGUGGUUUGACCGUUCGAAGCACAAAUGCGAAAGGCCUGUUGAAAAUGUCAGAAACUUUCAUCAGUUGUUCUUUUGCCUAUUUUGUGAUUUUCCACCGAAAUUUUUUUUUACAUUUUCUAUGAAUAUAUUUACCGUCACCUUCUUUUCUCACAUAAAUAAAAUCGUUAUAAUACGUUUUUUUAUAAAAAAAUCCUAAAUAUAGCAAUUCAAACACCUAAAUCUCCCUCUUUUUUUUUAUAGUUUUUUGUUGAUGAAUGCUGCCUAUGAACUUCAAGUUUAUCAUUGGUUUUUUAUUUCACAUUUGGUUAAUUGUUUUCAUAAGUUGAAGUGACCGUACGUUUUUUGUUAGUAUUAGGCUGCAAGAAAUGAAGGCAAAAGGCUAUAAAUAUAUCCAAAGCAAAGCAACUAAAAAGGCAUAAAGAGAUAUUUUAAAUGAAAACUUAAUUGUUAUUACUGCAGUUUUAAAUAGUAGCAAAAAUAGCCCGAACAUAUACCAUAUAGUUCUUUCAAACCUAUCUUACCAUUAAUUAGAUUGUAGUAUUGUUUUAUUUUAUCAUACGGUCUGUCUAACAGGAACUUUCUGAGCGCUUGUUAAAAUAUAUUUCAGGUAUUAAAUUUUUAAAAAUGUAAAAUUAAUUAGAAAAAGUGUAUAAAUACAAAAAAAAAAGAUAAUAACUAUUAGUAUGUAUAUGCAUAUAAUAUAUUAGAUAGAAUUUAGACGUAUUAAUGAUUGUUCAAUUGUCAUAUUUGAUCGGUUAAAAUACAAGCAUUUAGAUUCGAAAUCUAAUUAUUUAUCACACAUAGUAGAGUAAUUUAACUCAGACCAAAUGUUCAAAGAUUUUUUUCACAAAUGGAUACUGUGGUAAUGAGGGAACAAAAAAUUCAUGAAAAUCAUAGGAAUGUUGUUAUUCAAGAAAUUCCAGUCUCCUUCCGUCAUUUUACUUGGUUCUUUCCCUUCUGGACAUCACAGAUGUAAGCCUGAUAAUACCCUUGUCGGGCGAAUACUCGACCCUAAACCACCAACUUGAGAGAGAAGGUCCAAAUAAGGCUUAUCUUUGGCGUUUCUAGAAUUGAUUUCCCAACCAUAUUAUGACCUUCUAUGAUGUAAACGGGUUGAACUUUGAACCAUUGUGCUUUUGGGCUCGAAGAAUUUGGCAAAAGUCGGUCCACUUUUUUGACUCUUCAUAGGCUCGUAGCACUCAAUGCUGACUUGUCAAAACAACCCAUUGGAGACAAGAGGAAAUUUCGCUGCAAAUGUUCACACAUAGACUUAGGACGCUAAAAGUUUCAGCAGAGAUCAUUAGGGGUGCCCAGGGUCAGGGAUCAUAAAUUCCAUGUAUGUACGAAUUCACUGUCGCUAAUCACACGUAGCGAUCAACAAAAUUACAUUCCAUACUGUAACCCAGUUGAAUCGGUUAAUCUGUGAGAUAGGAUUUGAGUGUACAUGAUAAUUUAAUCUUCUUCUACGUAUAAAAAACAAAAAAGAAUUAGAUUAACAAAUCAAACAAUACAAUAUUUUUUUUCAAAUCAAUAAGAGUAUUUAAUCUAACAAUUCUAAAAAUCUAUCAACAAAAUAGAAAAUCAAAACACAUUAGAUAAUUUAAACACCGAAUAUUAUAAACAUUUGUUUCCGUUUUCUCUAUUUCUUGAAAGCAAUCGAUAUUAUUUUUUUUAAAAUAAGGAUGACAAGUUACUCCACAACCAAACAUGUAAGUUUUAAACAUUAAAAACAAAAUAAUUAGUAGAGUGAUGGAGUUGAUAGGAUUUACGAGAAAAGAAAAGAAGUUUUGGAACAAAAAAAAAAGGGAGAAGAAGAGUAAAUGAAAUUAGUGGCGACGCAUGUAGAAAGUGAAAAAGGUAAUUGGGAGAUAGAAUUAGAUAGAUAAGUUUAUAAGUUUUGAAAAAUAAAAUAUAUAAUAGUUCUCAUAAUUCAAUUAUUAGUAAAUUAAAUUGACUAAAUAAUUAUGAGUUGGAGUUGAGGUUUGGAUUUGGCUACUAGUUAUCCUAACCCAUCCCACAUAUCCUAGAUAGGGACGGCAACGGGCGGGGUUGGGGCGGGGGAUGCUGCCUACAAACUCCCCCCACCCCGUCCCAGCCUCGCCCCGCCCCGCUUCCCCUGCAUGUGCUUUCGCGGGGUUAAUAAAAAUUUGUUAUAUAAUUUUAUUAUGAUUAAAUUUUAGCAAAUAAUCAAAUACUAAAAUAUCAACACAUCAUCAAAUUAUUAUUCAUUGUAAUUUUAUAAUUGAAACUUAUAAAAACAAUCAAACAAAAAUUAUUUAAAUACAAUCCAACAUGAUGAAAUAAAUAUAACUAAAGUAGUCAAGUUUUCACUUUUGGCACAAAUACAAUCACUAAUUCAUUAUUGUGUGUUUGCUUUUUUUAAGAAAAAAAUGUUAUUGUAUUAAGUGUAAUUAAGAAUUUAGUAUCAAUGUAUUAGUAAAUUUAGUAUAAUCAAUUAAUAAUUUGUAUUAGUACACAUAUAUAAUUAUUAGUAUAAUUAAUAAUAUCAAUUAUAUUAUAUAUACUAAUAGACAUUAUAUAAUACAUAUAACUAAUAAUAUCAUUAUCAUAAGUUUGUAACUAAUUAAAUUAUAUAUUAUAUGUAUAAUUAUAUACAUAUAUUUAUUUUUUUAAAGCGGGUGGCGGGACGGGGGUACACUCCCCCGGUCCCCGCCCCGGUUAGACGCCCCGUUUCUAAGCGGGGAGAAAAAAAUUCCUCCCACCCCCGCCCCAACUUCCUCCCCAUUAGCCCCCCGCGGGACGGGUGCUCGCGGUCACCUGCUCCCAUUGUCAUCCCUAAUCCUAGACAUUUGUGCUACAGACGCAUAUAUGUCCAAAUAAUCAUGAUUUUCAAAAAUUGAGAACCAUAUUCUAAUAUAAUUUUUUAAAUAGAUUCGAGUAACCUAAUUAUUUCAAGAAUUGCAAGUUCAUUACCCUAUUUUUUUAUUUGGAUUAAGUCGAUUUUCUUGAUUAUCUACUUUUUCUUCUAUUCUUUUUGAACACCUGAUGGACUAUAUAUAUAUGCAAUCAAAUUCCUGUCUUUCUACCAUGUUUACUGUACAUGUCUUUCUACCGUCCAGCUGACAUCCUGUUUGUUGUUAAAAAAUCAGAGCCAUUUCUUUCUGAUAAUUGACACAUUUUUAAGUCCAACGGAUAUAUGGCACCAAACAAGCCCCAAGAUACAACAGUGCAUUCUCCAAAAAUGUUCUACUUGUUUUUUGGACUCCCCACUCAAGCUUGAAGCAAGGACUUGCCAAAAACCAAAAUUUACAAUUAACAUUGCAUAGUUUUGAAAUAAAAUAAUUUACUUCACAAAUUCCAAUCACUUUUUUAUCUUCUCAAUUACCUUUUAUCUCACAUACAUCACAUCACUAAAAGUACUACAGUAAUUAUCUCAAAUAAAUCAUUCAAAUAAACUCCUAUCGAAACAAACCCAACAAUUUUUUUGCUCAAGCCAAGGGCAUCAUCAGCUCUCUCUCUUUCCUUUACUAUUUCUUCUUUCUGCUAUUUCCUUCUUUUAUUCAAGCUAGGGAAAACACCACUCUCCUGGCAGCAGGGCGGGGUUGGAGAAGGGCUGGGAAAGCUUAAACCAAAAAAAUCUAACCUAAUGAAUAUUUCAAUCAAUCAAAAAUACAUGGAUGAGAUAUCUGAUGGAUGCUAUUAUUGCACUCCACUCCAUUUUGCCCAAUCUACAAACUGCAUUCCACCAUAGAUGUUGUUAGCAAAUCGCACACCAACUGUGAAGGCCAUUGCAACAGGUGGGACUCGCUUUGCUACAGGCGAUGCUUCGACCAAUCGCUCCAAGCCAUUAAUAAUCUGAUAACGAGUAUUGGAGGAGACUGCUAGGAAAACACCUGGCGACAAAUGAGAAUAAUGAAUAACACCAAAUGAAUGAGAACAAGCAACUCAUGGCAGAAGUUCUCUUAAAAAAUCUUCCAAUUCAAGCCCCAAGCAACGGCUUGUCCAGAAUACUGGUUAACAAGUUAAGACUCUUAGGUUCUUUUUUUCUGAAAGAAGAUUGUUGGAGGCUUGAACUUUAGCCACAUAUCUCAAGGAAUUUAACCAGAAGGAGAACACCAAGGUUCAAGCAUAGGUCUUUCUUUUCAUGUCCGUCAGCAACUUAAAUCAAAGGCACAUGAGAUGGCAGAAAUAAGAAAUCCAUCAGAUUGUUAUCAAACAUGUGCUUCAAUGACACAGGCAGAAGGAAGGAAAAAUGACUAGCACCAGGGAAACGAAGAACAAUGUACCCAAUCAAGUUAUUAAAUUUCAGAAAAAUUUGAAGAAUAGCUCAAACCUAUAUGAUUCGCAGACUACAUCCAAAUUUAAGAAGCAUAAGAUCCUUUCAUAGAAUUGUAUUCACUCAAGCGUUCUUUUCCAAAAAAAAAAAAAAAUCACGCGGUUGAUUUGACCGUGCAAUUGGCACUUACCCUGCGCCUAAGAAAAAGUCAUAUGUUCAUCAGGCCAUCAGGAAAAAAUUAGAGAGAGAAAAAGGAAAAAAGAAAAGAACAUAGAUAAGUCAGAGAGAGUCCAAGUCUUUAAGGAUUGAGUGCCUCAGAAUCAAAGUAUGCAACAUGAUAAUAAAAGGUAGUGAAGCUUUAAAUGCAUAAUGGAAACCUCACUCUGACGCAACAAAAUCAGAUAGUACACGCAGUGGCAGCAAUAGAAAGGAUAGGUUGGGUAGUAUCAAGUAAAAUACCCCAGAGAGCUGCACUCUUUACUAAAGGGGGAACUGGAAUAUCCUUUUCUGACUUCUUGAUGUUCCUGAAAGAUAAAAAGAAGCACGGUAUAGAUCUGGGGCCAUUUAAGAAUGUGCACUGCCAAAUUUUCUGGACAUCUCCACUCAAAUUUCAUCAGAAUGACAUAUAGUCCAUUAAUGCUUAUCCGAACAAGAAAAAUGUGAAAGAAUAGACUGAAUAAUUGUGCCACAGUGAGGUACGUAAUACUAUCUCGAGUUCCUCAUUUUGUGUGCUUAAUUGAAGGGAUUUAUGGGGCCAAUGUGAAGGUUAAUAUGAAUAAUGGCUCUCUCAAUACAGUGGAGAAAGCAAAACUUUAAUUCUUUCAAGUGUGCUGAAUAUGAUGAACUUACUUUUCUAAAAGGUUGAUUUAGGAAAAUAAUGGAUAAUUUGACCAAUUUGUUCCAUCAUCAAAAUUGCUGCUUUCAACUUAUUAUAUUAUUCAAAAUCCACUUUCUAAGAGCAAGUGAUUAAAAAAUUUAAUCUCUUGUUUAGUUUCACUUCCCAUUUUUCAGUGCAAAGAUUACUUUUUAAAAACUGCAUACACCAGUGAAAUGAUAAUUAGAGAUGUGAAUCAUAUUUUUUGUUAUUUCAUGCUUUCAGUCCAGAGCUUUACAGUGAGUUUAAGAAAAGAUAAUUACUUUAAUUCAAUACCCAAGAGAACAACAUACAAUAAGAAUUAUUCUCGUUCCAAAAGCCUAGAAACUAUUUCAUAGUCCAAUAGCAAGUAAUAGCACGAAGUUAUCUAAAAAGACAUACACCUUUUAGCAGUCAUAAUCAAAUUUGCUAUGCCUUGACCGAUAAGCCCACAGCCAAAUCCAACUGCACCAUAUAAUACACCCUGGAUCGAGCAUAAGUUAGGUUGUCAAUAAGAGAAAUAUUCAACAAGGAUCCGACAGAAAGUAGCACAAAAAAUCACAGAUGAACUGGGAAAGCAAGAUGUUAACAUUGGAACAAGAAUGCAUGCCAUUAAAAGAAAAAAGUGGAUCAGGGAAAGCUUUUAACUAAAUAAAAUGAGAUGAUAGGGGACAUAUGCUCCCUUCAAGACUUGAAGCCUGGUAACCAAAUAUAGUAAUUGUCACCCGGUGUAUUUACAAAAUGUAUUACCUUGUAAAAGUAUGUAGCGAUUCGUUGCCGGACUGAAAAUUUGCAUCCUGGCCUUUCAGCUUCAAAAACACUAGAACCAAAAUAUUCACAAUUAAACACCUAAAUAGUCAGUUGUAACAGCAAACAAGAUGCACGCAAUUCUGCUAGCCCAAUAAACACCAGAAGUAUAAGACUAAAAAGGGGCAUGGGAUUGAGGUAUUCACAGGACACUCAAGUAUUAACUAAUUAAUCUUAUAUUAGGCACAAACCCUGUCAAAAUUGGGAUAGUAGCAAUUAAAAUACAAUCAGCUGAUAGUUUGCAAUAUUUAAUGGUAUUCAGUACAACAUGGGGUAAUGCAUGCUUUAAAAGGAGAAAAAUCUUUAGUCCUAAUACUUGGAGUAACUCUGAAACUGAGUUAUAUCUCUAACAUGCAGACUAGUAAUUGAGGCUAUAAAUCCUAAUUGUGCAACAGAAGUAGCUGGAAUUAUUUAUAUAAGAGCAUCACCUAAUGAUCGGUUGAUUGCCUAAAUCAACAACCUUUGAGGUUUUGACCAACACAAGCAAAAUUUUUUCCUGUAUAAUUUGGCUGGUCAUGACAUAUGUUGGGUAAUCAAAGACACUCAGUUGCUAGUUUUACUUUACAGCUUUGCAAUCUUUAAAAUGCAUUCCAAUCUGGAAGAAUAGGAAGCAAUUUAUUCAAAUCUUAUACACCUGACUUGACUUUAAGGUUUCUAUACGUGAAUCUCUAACUUUCAAGUCACAACAGAUGUUUUCUUUUGAAAUGCAAUAUUUUAUCAUCAACUGCUUCCUACCACCAGAUUGCUGGUUUUCAACAGCCCCUUGAUCAGCUUCAAUGGCAAUAUCUAUGUUAUGAUAAAGUCAACCACACAAGGGGUCAUCACUAUACUGUUAAAAGAUGAAAGAGAACAAAUGACAGUAACAUUAAGAUCCUAUAAGCUAUUAUACCUGCUUGGGAGAGAAGCAGUGGCAAGUUGUAGUCGCCCUAAAAAGCCACUCGAAACAGAUCUCUUCCCAAUACGAGCAUAAGGUGCCAGCAUGCCAACCAGAGCAAUGUCAACUACCACCCCAACCAAAACAUCUGCAGCAUACAAUUCGAACUCGGCCCAAAAAUCCUUACCCCUCUUCUGAACUUCCGCAAAUGUUGCACAACAAGUAUCAAUGACCACCUAAAAUACAAGACAUCCAGUUACUUAUGACAGCCCAACAGAAAAUACAUUAACAAAAGUUGGAUAACUUGUUGAAACUAAACUGGAAAGUUCACCACAAAAGUCCAGUCUACAAGGUUGAAAGCUACAAACUCGAUUUCAACCUCAUCCAUGAAAUUAUUCUUUAGUUUGUGCAUUUUUCUGCCAUGCAACUUCACAGGUUCAAAGAAUACAGGAAAACAGACAUAAUGCAUCACUCUAAUGUCAAUGUUGUCACUUCAGGUUCCAUUUGGUAUUUGUGUCAAGCAUUUCAUGCAUCCACAAGAAAAGCAAGCCCUGACAAACUCCAAAAAACAGCCGAAACAGCUAAACGAGUAUCCCUAAACCAUUCCGUAUGGACCAAAAUGAGCAACUGUCCUUGAUUAACGAUUAGAAUAAAAACACACAUCCCACAGGCAUAACUGCCAUAGCUAAGCUCAAAGAAUAAUCCUUUUUGGCAAGCAAUACAUGUUCCCAUACAUAAUAAUUCAACAUUAUAACCCAGUUCAAAGUCUUAACUAACCUCUGUCCCAACUUUAAACAAAAACGCUGGAUCAGCAAGCAUUCGAUUCCUGAGCAUAGAGCAGUACCUCAUCAAGAAUCCCAACGGCCAAACUGACCCCUGCAUUAUGAAUUCAAUCCAGAAACACUCCAAUUAACAAUCCAUCGACCAACAGUAUCAAGAUGGCAAUAGCAACAAAUCCAUGACCAGGGGAAAAAAUUUAAACAUCAUAAGCAGGCAUUUCCACCUGUAAACCCAAAUAACGGCUAAGAAUCAAGCUCCGAAUCCCGGUGGUCUCGGCAGCUUCUAACAUAUCAGAAGGCAGAGUCGCCCCUCGUUUUUCAGCUUCUCUCAUCACUUCUUCAAACUUCAAAAGAGGCCCAAACUCUUUUUCAUCAAAAUCACCUUCUUCUUCUUCAUCUCCGCCCCGCCCCCGCCACCGCCACCGCCACCGCCAGACGGCAAUCGCCCAUUGCCGCCAUCUCCUCCACUUCCAUUAUCAAUUCUGGGUUCCUCUAUAACCUCCUUGAGAGCACUCGUUUUCGCAAUAUAAUCCGAUUCGCUACAUUUGAGCUGAAACACUUGGCAACUGUUACUCCUAUUAUUUUCCCUGAAACUACCAUCAUUUCUGAUUGAAAAGCUGGAAAAGGUCGAGUUUUUGGAAGAACCCAAAAGCCUGAACUGGAAGUCAACACUCUGGGCAGCGAAUUGGUUGCUUUCAUUUGGCGAAAUUGACAGGUUUUUCAAUGCCAAGCUCAAGCUCUGGAAGAAAUAGCCAUACUUGUCAAUGUAAAGCUAUUACCAAAAAUACAAAAGUUCUAUACCUGUUUCCUUUUUGGCUGUCAACACUUAAAUCAGUUAUCAAGAAAAAAUCCAGCACGAAAGCUUUGGGCCUUUUGGCCUUUUGGUGAAGUAUCAGGAAUCCGGUUCCGUAUAGGCUGCAACUCGUAAGAUCCCACAUAGUAGGGUUUAUGGCACGCUGUUGUUGGAGUGGCAGCUUUAUUUGUACGACUAUUUAUAUUUAGACACCUGGAAUUUUGUCAUUUUGUAAUUAUGCCCCAUAGAAUGUUACAAAGUUUCAGUAUACAGUCCCUGGCCGUUGGCCAACUACCAAAUGUCAAAUGGGCAAACAAAGCAUGAAAAGUGGGAAAUAUUGGCUCGAGUUUAUUUUAUUUUUUUAUGUAGAACAUAUUAUUUUUAUUUUUCCAUCAUGCAACAGGCAAUUCAAGAAAAAAGAGAUAUAAAUUCAAGGGCACUACUUUUCUUCCCUAAUUCUAUAACCUCACUCGUACUCUAUUAAUAAUCAUAGAAACAGCUUUAAUGAGCAAUUUAUGCCUGAUUGUUAUAGUAAUUGAGAUUGAUUUUUCAAACAAUUUUCAAUAAGUUACACGAGUAGAGUUAGCCUUUUUUACUUUGUUGAUAAACAUGCAUAAUAUGGGUAUUAUUAUACACCAUAUAUCUUGUACAAUUGAAACAGAAGCCCAAUUUUGCAAGUGAAUUUUUUUGGAUAUUUGUCUAAAAUUUUACCGUAACUUAUUGUAGAAGUUGUAGAAAAAAUUUUAAAAUGUGUAAAUUUUUGAAAAUUUUGAAGUGUAUAGCUUAAAAACUUUGAGAAAUUUUUUUAGAUUGCUGUAACUAAAAUUGUUAAAAAAACUUGUAGCAGACAAACUUGGCUAAAAACUUACUUGCCAAACAAUGCCUGAAAAUCGUUCCAAACCCCAUCCCUCCUUUUCCUUCUUCCCUGUUCUCAUAAAUGCUUCCUACUUCCAAACCUCUAACAAUACACACACAAUCUUUUCUUUACAAAGAAGAGGAGAACAAUAUAUAGAGUCUUGUUUUCAACUUAUUCUUGUUGUAUUACUCCAAUGUCAGAAUAUUAUAACUAUUAAUGUAAAUUAGCCUCCAUAAGCACAAGCAGCAACUGCAAUAUCAGGACACAUUUUGCAUUCAUCCUAAUUGUGUUCAUAGAGGGACAUGCUCAGAAGUCACAGCAUUGCAUCAGAACUUGUUUGAUCCCCGUCCUUGGCAUUGUCAGUUCCUAAUAUAAACAUCUCCAGAAGCAUUUUGCCUCUCCGAUUUUCACCUCAAAGCUUAGACAGCAAAACCAAGAUAAACAAGCAAGAAAAGCCUUUGAAUUUUCAUCUUUCUCGGUGCCUGAAGCAACUUUACCAGGUGAUUACUGAUAAAACUUACCGUGGUGCUAUACAUUAGCGAAAACAAAGAGCCAAAAGCAUACACAGCAACAUCGACUAAUUUGCUAGGCAUGCGAGUUGGAUGUAAACCAAGAAUUUACAUGGGUUAAGCAGCUUGACUAUUUACUUUUUUAUCUGAAAAUUUCAUGAGAUGAACAUGUCACUAGAUUGUUACUACAUUUCAGACAUAGCGAUCAAUUGACUUGGACAGAGUUUCUGUCCAAAUCAACCAAAAUUUCACCUGCUUACAAAAUCACAUCCUAUCAAAUGGAGCUGUACAUGUAUGAACCCAAAAGAAUCUGAAAACUAUAAAUGAUAUACCUCCUUUUUUCCCUCUCUAGAGUCGACUUAAUGUAUUUACUCGCCUAUACUAAUGUUGAGAACGGAAUGUCAGCCAAAAUUUUUGAGAACGAAUACUAAUUUGUCUUCAAAUUAUCCUUCCUUCCUUCCUUUUCCAAGAAAAUUGCAUUAUAUUUCACCAAAUCAGUACCUCCUUCAAGCCUUCAAAAGUCAAAGAACAUCUUGACAGCGAAUGACUUGGCACCUCAAUAUACACAUUAUAUCAUGAGAAACGAGCUCAGACCCAACCUUCCAGGGUUACUAUCAGGGUAUCUAAGAAGACUUGGUAAUGUCACGAUUUUUCAAAACAAAGAGAAACUUUUGCGGUGUCUUGACUGAAGGGAAAGUCUUCCAUGCUCACCUGAUGCCCUAGGAGUAGGCGCUGUACUUUCAACAACAUCUGUUUGAGCUUCUGAAGACUGGGGAAGCAGAUUGCAUCCCAUCCUCCUUGCAAUGAAACGAGGAGAACUGAUAGAGCUGUAUGACUUUGCCACCCUUUUCAUCUCUUGCUUUAUUUUAGUGAAUUCUUCUUCAAGCUCUCCAACUCUAGAUCUCAUCCUUUCCAUGUCUACUUUUAAUACCUGGUUCGCACGAGCAACUGUCAUCCACCCAUCUCUCUGGAGAAUCUGACCCGCCAUGUCACUCGGACAGUCAUUGGAACAGGAGGAGCAGUUUCAGCAUCCAAGACAUGGAGGCAGCCGGCAAGAGCUGCCCUCAGCUGCAACUGCUCAAAGAACAGCACUUGAAGAACAACUCUGAGUGGCAACCUUUCAUUUUGAGAUGCAUGAGCACAAGCAUCAAUGGACAGCUUCCGAAAGUCAAUAAUGUUGCAUAGCAGUUCCUUAUCUUUCUCAGGAAGCCAAGGGUGUUCCUGUCCACAUUAGGAUAAUAACAAGCUUAUUGGUCACCUUUGUAGGAGUAUAAAUAGCAGGUACACAGAAAACUGCGUGUAUCUGUGUUGAAGCAUGUUAUACGCAUGUGUAGCCAAGACGCACUGCAUAUAUCAAGUGAAGGCUAAAACAUAACACAAAAUCACAAGGGAACUGUUACAAACUAGACAUAUUCAAAAAUGUCCCCAAUUGGAGAUCACGAGUUUAAGAAAAAUAAAGAGUCUCUUUGCAAUGAAAUCAAACAAAAGCUGAAACAAUUAACUAAAAUAACAUUUUCUGGUCUUUUGAAGAAAAUUACAACUGCUUCAGAAAUAAGAACUGAAUUAUAAGGAAGCCUCUAGCAAUUUAAGAUGUGCUGUAACCAGAAAGCUGAAGAGGAAAUAAUGAUACGAACUAAGAAAAAUCAUUUUCUAGAGCCCAAUUUUCCAAGAACAAGAACAUGACUUGUUCACAUCAUUUGGGGAGAUUCUUUGACUAUAGACAGCACUUUAAUUCAGUUGACUGCAAAUACUUUGAACAUAAAAAUUACUUUAAUAUGAGAGAACCUGUCAGCCAAACUGUCGUCCAUCACACUUUCAUUUCCUUUUUCUUUUCCUAAGCAAAACUCAGCUUCAUCUGGAUCAUAAAGGUCCUAAAGGACUGAAUUAAGUUGAUUGCUGUGUAUCAAAUGCAAAAGGAUUUUGCAAGUAAUUUAUACACAAGUCAUGCAGUACCACAGAAAGUCAGAAACACAUCAUUAUGCAGAACUCCUAACAUAAAGGAGAAAAAGGAAACUGCUUUGGAGUUGCACGACAUUCCAUUAAUAAAACUAAGUUACCAGCAAUUAAUUCACAAAUUUUACGUGACACACAAGUUGAUAAGCAGCAGUGAACUUAUUGUUACCUUUAAGUAAAUAUCCAGCGCUCGGUACAAUCCAUCAUGCAAAGAUCUUGAAGAUUCUGGCAAGGCUUCUGCAAGCAAACGCAUUUUGUUGGGUUUCAGGUUCACAUCAGAAGCAACCUCAGCAAUGUAUCCAUCUACCAACUUUGCCACUCUCUUCAAUGGUCCUGAUGAUGGAGAUGUUUUAGAUCAAAAGAUGAUGGGGAUAGAGAAGUUAGCCUCGAUUCAGAAGACAUAAAAUGAUGAAUCAUUCGCUCUACACAAUCAGUAUUGUAUAAUGUAUCAGAGUCUGAGUAACAUGGUAUCAGUAGACCAUCUAGAGUAGCUUGAUCCAGUUGCACCCCUAUUCUUCUCUCUAAAGAGUCCUGACAUGUAUGAUUGACACCCAAUAUCAAUGCUACUCGUAGAAGCCCUAACAGAAAUCGGCAAAACAAUGUCCCCUUUUUUUCAGGGAGCAGCUUUGUAACACUUUCUAAAAGAACCUUUUGGUCAACAGCAGCUGGAGUCAUGCUGAAACUUGCAACAGUUCUGGGUUUACCACUCUGUCCACCCUGCCAUCUGCCCAAACCAGGAAGGUACUUUCUGCAGUAGUGCAUUAUAGCACCUGCUAAAUUUUCUGGUUUUAUACCUUUUCCUUCCAUUGUAUGAAUCAACCUCUCAAACAAAUGCACACUCAGAUAUGAAAUGUCUUCAUACCACCAGUCUGAUUCCAUGGUACUUUGGAUCUUUGCACCUGUAUUGAUUCCAUUCCAUAGAAUGCUACCCCCAGGGCUCUGUAAACUACCAUACAUCAACAUAGGCCAUCCAAAGAGACUAGGAUCUGUACAAACCAUCACGGAGACAGCAUUUAAACAUCUACUGACAAUUUGCAGCUUGUCUGCUCUUGAAAUUACUGGUUCACAACUUUGGAGAGCCAAAAGGCAAUCCUUCCAGUUCUUUAAACAUUAUUGUGGAAGAAACCUUCUGACUUUGACAAUAAGUUAUCUUCUCCAUGCUCGUCUGUCAUUUCAAGGUAGUCCGCAGCACAAUAUACCAUUACUAUGUUUCUUGCUGUAAAUUCCACCCGCCCACCAUAACAGAAUUUUAUUAUGACCAAAAAUGUCUCACUGCCACCAGGGAAGUCUUCAAAAGUUGUGAUGAAAUUCCCAUCAGUGGAUUCUUCAGAUUCUUCGAUUAUCUUGGAAAUCCUCCCACAUCUUGAUACCAGUGGAAACUGGAGACAAAGAAAAAUUAAUAUUAUCCUCAGGAUUAAGAAAACUACAAAAAAAAAAAAAAAGACAGAAAAUGAGGAUUAAAAGAGAAGAAAAAAGCAAUUCCAAGGAAAAAGUCAAAGAAAUCCCACACAACUCAAAUUAGUACUGACCCCUCCCCUCAGCCACAGAAGAGGAAAACAGUUGUGCAUUAAGCAAGAAGAAGGCAAAAUUUAAAUUUAAAAAAAAAUUAUUAAAAUUCUAAAACCACUUAAGAACCUAAUGAACAGAGGUGCUAAAACACAAAGAAAUGAGCUAUUGAAAAAAAAACAGUGUACUGAUUUAUAGAGAGAUCGCAGUCAUUUCAAACAAGACAACAUCCUUGGAGUCCUCACAAAUUGUUUUAGAGAAGAAACACUUUUGUUGCUAAAAGGCGGGACAUUGGAACUUCAUACAUGUAACAAACAAAAUGUCAGAGAGAGAUUCAUAGUAAUUGGAAAAUUGCAAAAUAAUCAACUGACGGUCACGUUCUAAAAGCAAUGGACAUGCAAAAGCAGACAUUUGUCAAUAUGCUUUGAUGUGAGAAGUUUAACACAGUACAAGAUCAUUGCCUUCGACCUACUCAGAUACAAAUGGCACUACAUCAGUAACCAACUCAAGAUGAACAACAGAAAAAGUACCACCAAAAGAACAACAAAAUACAAAAAUAGAUCUCAUAUAUUUCCAGAUGCACAAAGAAUAAGAAAUACCUUGUGAAGAUGGAAGUUAACACCAUCUACCACCACAGUUAUGUCACUUGGUAGAGUUGCAUUAUAGAACCUGUGAAGUUCAUUAUAAAUCAAAAUCGAUUUAAAGCUCAUGUACCAGGUAAGUAUGUGUAACGUAUCUAAAGUCAAAACAUUAACGUAUGUAAAGUCAAAACAUGUUCGGCAUCCUACUACAUGUCAGGGAAUGAAGAAUGACGAUUAAACUCAAGUUCCAACUUCAAUAAGAGAGAUAGCAAUUGUUUUUGCUCAUAAUCAUGCCUCCUUCACAUUCCUCACUCUGACACCAAUUCGUGUACAGGCAGUUCAAUAAAUUCAAAUCUUAUUCUGAACUAUAAACCAUAUUUGCGACAGGUAACUGAACUGAACAAGGACAGUCAGGAUAUUUACCCAAGGACAAUCAGGCUAUAAGAGCCACAACUGAAUUCCUAUUCCUUGAUCCCAAUCAUGCGUAAUAAUGGAGGCACUGCAAAUAUAACAAGUUCCACAAUUCACCACAAUCUAUAUCUACUAUAUUUGAAUGCCAAAGACUAAUUCUAUAGUGUUAAAGAACAUGAUGAUUAUUGACAGGAUCAAAGCAAAUAACUUGAACAAGUCCCGGAGCUGAUGCCUUCACAUAUGAUUUUUUAUCAAGAAUCUAACAUAAAUAAGCAACUAAGUAAUAGACAGAAGCAUACCAGUCAUUGCCUUCACGGCGGAAACCAGUAACUUUUGCUGCAGGAGCCAUAUCAAUGCCUCCCCUGAGGACUCAACAGACCUUCUCCUCUAUAAGAACAAUUAGUCAAUCAGUUCAGUCCAAUUUAACUCUCUUCCUCUGUUUUUCGCUCUCUUUUGAAUUGAAUAGAAGCAUCAGAGGACCAGAUAAGUCCUAUCACCAGAUUAAAUUAAAUAAACCCCAUCCUAAAGAAUAAAGUCAGGGCAGGCCACCAACCAUAGCAACCACAAGAACAGAGUCAAAAUGAGGCAAACCCAAAUCACCCCUCCAAAAUUAAGUAAAUUCUGAGCACAAAUCAAUCAAAGUAAUCAUUUUUACGUUCAGGGUCCUCUCUUUCCCUUUCUCGCACCACUUUACAGCUAAGCCACUGAGUCCCCAGUAAUUCUUGCACACAAAAAGACUAGCUCACUGCUCUUGAUAUCCCCUACAAGACACAAGACAGCAACAGCAUGGUCCAUACUCCACACGUUGCUUUAAUACACUCCCAAAAAAAACAUACAUAUAGAGAACCCACAAGCCAAGACACGCAACCGGCGGAGAAAAGCAUCGUUUUCACAAAUUUUCGAGCUUUAUCCCACGGCCCAUUGCUAUAACUUCGGGUUUGAGUGUUUGACCCCUUCAGAUAAUCUAAAUUUUGAGAGAAUUUAGGCCGGCAGAGGAUUUAAAGAGGGACAAGGGUACAUGACAAAUGAUAUGAGAGAGGAAGCGGAGAGGUGGGGGAAUAGUAGAAUAAUAAUAAGCGUGUGUGUAGUUGGGUCACGCUUUUUGUCGAACAGAUGGUCGGAAGGAAAAACAGGGAAAGCGUCCGAGGGAAUAUCGAGGUGAAUCCAACGAGCGGUGCGGGCUUGUGUCCUGUGGGUGGUGGAAUUACUAAUGAGAUUGUCUGAUAAUUGAUGCCUACGUGGUGGUGUUAUUAUUUCAUGGAUUUUUUCUGAUUGGGACAUUGUUGUGAUUGGUAUAAUUGUGGUCUUUUUUCCUUUUCUUUCUUUUCUUUUCUUUUCUUUUCGGGAGUGAUUGUGGCUUUGUUGGUGGCUAACCCCACGUGAAAUGGUGCUAAAUUAGUAAAUUGUGUGUUGGCAUGAGAAAUUCUUUGGGUUAGCUUUGCUUUCUUUUGAAGGCAGUGUAAAGCAAAAUUUUGUGACUAGAAGAUGCUCAAGUGCUUCGUUAUGUUCUAUCAUGUGCAAUUCGAUGAUAAAGAAUGAGUACUAUGAAGUCUAUCAUUAUAUUCAAUUCAUAUGUCUGUAGUUAGAUGGUAAAGAUUGAGAAUUCUGAUUAUGCUUUCUAGUUGGCAUUGUUUGGAUUAGGGUUUUCUGUAGAAAAGUUUCUAUAUUUUUGGUAAGCACAUUUUCAAUCUCGUUUUUAUCUCACAUACAUCAUCGUUACAAUUACCUUUCUACAAAAACUCCUAAAAAUAGCAAGCGAGACGGAUUUGAAUACUUCUACAAUUAGAAAAGUAAAUUAGUGUCAAUUGUCUUAAACAUAAGCAAAAAGUUACAGAUAUAAUGCUGAAUACUUACUUUUAUCAAAAGCCAUUUAGUGUGGGAUUUGUCUCGAUGGACAUUUGUCAGGAUAGAAUUCAAGUAUCAAUUCACCAAAAACUUGCAAAGAUAGAUUUCAAGUGUUAAUUUCUUGAUAAAAUAAAAUUACAUAAGAUAAGUAUUUAAAUGUAACAGGUCAAUAAAUGUGAAUGUAUAUGUAUGUUUUGUAUGUAUACUAUCUUAAAAACUUUUCAUUCAUUGCCAUUUCGUAGUUAUAGUUAACUAGUCAAAGACAAAAAUUACAAAAAAAGAUGAAAAGCAUGAGAGGGAGACUCGAACAGGUCACCUGAGUGAAUCAUGAAUAUGAAAUGAAGAGGCCACGAAGCAACAAUUAAUGGUGGAGAGUUGCAUUCCAAUCCAUUUUAGAAAAAGAUUAAACUUCUAUAUACUGAUUAUGUAAUGCAAUUCAUUUUAAAAAAGAUAUGUAUAAAUUAUGCAUAAAAAAAACUAUAUAUACAUUAGUGGGGUUGGGUACAUGCACAUAUACAAAACAUAAAUUUCAAAUUAAAAUUAAAACUAAUUGUCAUAUUUUUCAAGUUUGAUAAUAUAUACACUAUCGGAAUAUUAAAAAAAUAAUUAUUUAAUAAAAGUCACCAUACCUGCGCGAAAAUCUUUGGCAAAGCAAAAGGUGACACUUUCCUUUAGUGAGAAAAUAAUGUGAAGAAGAGGCUAAACUGCAAUUUGACGUUAUAAACCCUCAUACUGGAAAUACAUCUUGAUCAUAGAUUGUUGCCGUGAAUUUCUAUUCAAAACAAAUUUUUUUUUUUUCAUGUACUCGUAUAGUAUUUACAAGAGAUUGUGAAUUUAUUAAACUCAAUUGGAUUUUGCCAUGUCCAACGGCUUAUCAAACUAUAAAACUAGGAUUAUAUAUGACUCGUAUAGGGAAACAACCAAAGCGCCUGUGGCCUAAUGGAUAAGGCGUCUGACUUCUAAUCAGACGAUUGUGGGUUCGAGUCCCACCAGGCGUGUCUUUGUAUUUUUCGGGACUUUCAUGGAUGCGUUAUCCAAAACCGGACGAAGAUGUUUCAGGGCCUUUCGUGAUAAAGUUGGUGGCAUAGAUCUGUUUUUAUUUUUUGUGUUUUGUAAUUUUACAGAUUCUGUCCAACAGAAAUAUUCGAUCGUGAAUGAGGCGAAAUGUUUAUGUGCUAACCCAGAGAUACAGCAUAUAUCUGACUAGUGGUAAUCAAAUUGGCAAAGCAUGAUUUAACAUAUGACAAGGAAAAUUAGUAGCCGUCUGACUUUAAAUCAAGAGAUACAUGCUUUAUUUAGAUCUAUGUGUGCGUGUGUGUGUGUAUAUAUAUAUAUAUAGAGAGAGAGAGAGAGAGUUGCUUCCUAACACCUUCUUACUUAGGAGUACAUUGCAGUAGCAUGGAUGGUUUUGGAUCAAAUUAAAAGCUCAGACCAAAAUCCAUGGCAAGCAUUUUACAUCUUUAUGAAACUUAAAAAAUCGAUGGUGCCAACACUAAGUAGGUAGCAAUAGUUUGUCUAACGAACGAUUGGUAGUGUAGCACAGAAAUAGGCAAAACAAAAGGCCAAGUACUAACUAAUUCCAAUCGCCUUGAACCAUCACAUGCUUUUCAGUAGACUAGGUUUGAAGAACGGUGAAGCAUCUUUUAAUGCACAAAGCUUCUACCAAGGUCUUCUUAAGCCUUUAAUCAAGUCAGGGCAAAUAGCCUACAUUAUUUGUUGGCAAUUCUUUAAGAGCAUUUGCAAACGCGAUGGUUAUUACACUUAACAUAAGCCUUGAGAGGUCACGAGCUGAUAACAAAGACCCCAGCUAAAACCCAAACCUCAGCACUCAUUCACCAGGGUGUAAUGGACCGUUUACUGCCGGUAUGUCAUUUUAAUGCUGAGAAGCAUCUUCAAUACCUUGACAAGUAAAACUGAUCGCAAGCCUCUUCGUAAAUGAGAAAAGGGCCAAUAGUCACGAAAAGAAUAAUAUAUUAGGGAAAUGAAGCCUGAGGAGGCAGAACAAAAUGAUACAACAUGAUCCCGUAUAGUUGUGGUAUGCAUUAAGCAGCAGAAGAGUGACCACAAAUUACAAACAGUACAUCUAUCCUUCUACAGUUCUCCAAAGUGUCUUAGAUAAAGCAUCACAAGUCUUCCUACUAAAAUGCCGCCCUUAAGACCAACAUUGAGUUUCAUGUUCCUUGUAACUGCACGCUAUGGACUAGGAACACUUUGAAAGUGAA
RNAcentral lists this long non-coding RNA (79690 nucleotides) under Coffea arabica (coffee). Its description in RNAcentral is "long non-coding RNA (CARA_LNC000309)". The stretch from base 78394 to 78466 matches the Rfam family "tRNA". Lineage: Eukaryota; Viridiplantae; Streptophyta; Magnoliopsida; Gentianales; Rubiaceae. The record is from RNAcentral.